RNAcentral lists this long non-coding RNA (57861 nucleotides) under Vitis vinifera (wine grape). Its description in RNAcentral is "long non-coding RNA (VVIN_LNC004406)". Lineage: Eukaryota; Viridiplantae; Streptophyta; Magnoliopsida; Vitales; Vitaceae. The record is from RNAcentral.
AAAGGCCUUGUUGGGAAUAUCUCUAAUUUUAACUUUUUUAGAAAUUAUCAACAUUCUCCUUUAACUUCUCCCAAUAGGCUUAUUAUUUUCACGGGUUUUCUGCUUGGAUUAGCUUUUUCUAUUCCUUGAUCCACUAGGAUUUGGUACCAUUGAAGGGAUUUUUAUUGUACCAUAAUCGAAACUUAUGAAACUUUUGCCAUGUUUGGUUCUUCAAAUGUAGUAAUAAAAGAAUUUUUUUUUUUUAAAAAAAAUUCUCAUAUUUGAUUUUAUCAUGAAAAAUAUUUAAAAAAAAAUCAAAUAUAAUUAAAAUUAAUUAUAAAUUUAUAUGUUUUAAAUUUAUUUAAUCUUGAUGUAGAAAAAAAAUAAUAAAUAAAAUAAAUUUAAAAUAACGUAUAAAAAUAAAUUAUUGAUUUUAAAUUUAUUUUUUAUUUUUCUCUAUGUUAUCUUUUCAUUGUAUUUUCCUUCAAAAUUUCUAGUAACCAAAUAUGACCUUAACAUAUUAACUAAGACCUCUCUUUCUGCGAAACAAUAAUUAUUAGGAUUCACCCCUUUUAGGAUAUGAGUCCAUGGGUGCUUAAUCUUGACAAUUUUAUUUUUUAUUUUUUAAUAUUCAUGGUUUUUGGGUUCUUAAACUUGGCAACUUUUUUUUUAAAAAAAAUAUUUUUUUAAUGGGAUUCACUUUUAAUAUGUUACCCAUAAAAAAUCUUGUAAAUAUUAUUUGCUUUACACUAUAAAAUAAGCACAUCAUAUGAUUUGUUUCCUAUAAGUAUUACAAACUUUUUACCAAAUCACAUGGGAUAUCACAUCAAGAUAUUGGAUUUUAACAAAAAUUUCUGAUUCCAAAACUUGUUUAAGUGGGCAAGUAUUUUAUUAAUUCUUAAUAAAUUAAAUAAAAUGAGUUUUAAAAGGCAUAUACAAACAAUUUAUUCAUCCUUAAUUAAUUAAUUAUUUUUCUUUAAUUUUUUAUUUUCUUUCAUUUUAGAACCAAAUAUUAAACAAAUAAUUUAAAAAUACAUAAGCUUCUAACUAAUUUUAAGAAUAUUUUAUUUUAUUUCAUAUUUUAUAUGAUAAAUCAAAUAUGAAAAAAUGAUUUUUUAAUACAUUUUUCCCUUUCAUUUUCCAAAUACCAAAUAUUAGAUAAAUAAUUUAAAAAUACAUAAGCUUCUAAUUAAUUUUAAACCUAUUUUAUUUUAUUUUAUUUUAUUUUUUAUAUUUUUUUAUGAUAAAUCAAAUAUGAGAAAAUAAUUUUUUUUUUAUAACAUUUGUUUCUUUUCUUAAUACUUUAUUUGAAACUAAAUAGAGCAUUAAUUUUUAUGUAGUAAAAAAAAAAUCAAGUGAAAUAAAUUUGAAGAAAUAUAUAAAAAUAAUUUUAUUAACUUUAAUUAAUUAAUUUUCGUUUCUUUUUAACUUUUCUAUUUAUCUCAAAUUCAAAUUUGUUGAGAUCAAACAUCGGAUUGCCAUCCUAAGCAAAGCCCAAUUUACAAUGGUGCUUGGACUUAACAAGAAACUAGUCACUCCACUUGGGCAGAAGUUGGAGGAGGUCAAGUCAUGCCAAAUUCCAGGAAGGAGCCCAUGCGGGCCUUCCCAUAUGAUCAUCAGAUGAGGUUUGGACAGAAACUGGGCUCAAGCCAUGCUUGAAAUUGAGCACAGCCCAUCCUCAUUUGUUACUUGUACAAAAGCUAUGGGACAAUGGAGCUUCAAGUGGGAGCAAUCAGAGUGUGACCCAAAUUGUGAGUCCUAUCUACUUCUCUCACUUUGUGGACACACCAUGAUCAAUAAUUUUCAGACUACACCACCUAUCCCAUAAACAGUUGAGUUGAACAUUUUACCAAUUUCAUCUUAAAAUUAAUUAAUUCUUAGUGAGAUUAUGACCAUACCCUAAAUCUGAUACCAAAUUUCCCAUCUCAUCUUAAAACUAAUUGAUUCCCUGAUGAGGUUGUGAUUAUCUCCUCUUAUAUGUUGUAUAAAAGAUGAUACAUAAUCUUCACUGAAAAGGCAAAAUUCCUUUGUUGAAGGUGAAGGUGAAACAAAAUGGUAGAAAUGAAUUAUUUUAGUAUUAUUUUUUACUCCUCAUAUAUAUUCGGACUAUUCUCUGAUUUGACAUGAUCUCAAUGUCUCUCUAGAAUUACUUUUAAGAUAUCUGUUAGGAUUACAUGGGGCUAAUUGUAUGCUUUUUAUAGCCUUUUUUUUUUAUUUAAGCUUUUUCCUAAUUUUUUAUUUGACCUAUCAUAUACUAUUCUCAGUAUUACCUUAUCUUAUUUUUGUAAUCUUUACUUUAUCCCUUUAGAGAUUUAUCACCUUUGGAAAAUUUUUGUUAAGUAAACCUAGGUAAAGAGAAAGGUGAAUUAAAUGAUAGUUGCUUUUAAUUUUUUUUAUUAAAUUUUAACACAAUCAACAUCUGCAUUCAAAAUAUAGUAAAGAUCUCACAAAGACUAGAUAGAUAACAAAUAUAAGAUCAAAUUAGCUUAGAAGAACUAAAAAAAAAAGGUUUUCAAUGGAUUGCCAAAGAUUUGCAAGAGUUCAAACCAAUAUUUUGACACAAGUUCACCAUAAGAGGCCCAUCACAUAGUCAACCAUAUGACUAGCUAUUAGAGUAUUAAAUGCAUAGCAAGUUAACAAUGGAGAGCAAAUUACUAAAGAGGUUGGUUGCAUAAUAGGAGAUUAAUUGAUGAUGAUAAGAAAAAAACAUUUCUUGUUAUGAUUUUGCUAUUUUAGGCAUGAAACAAUGCAAGAGUUUCCUAUGUAGACUUCAUUAUGUGAUUCCCUAAAACCUUUUAGAAUUUGAUAUCAUCUUUUGAGGACUUACACCAACUUUCAAUGCAAUUUUCAAGUUUAAAAGUUUUGUUUUAAUUUCUUGCAUUUUUAAGGCCUUAAAGUUGAUUUUAGUUCAAGAUAGUCUUCUAUCACUUAAAUAAGGACCUACCUAGAGAUCAUUUUUUAUGCCCUAGCAAGUAGCGACCACCAUAAUUCCAAGACUAACACGCAAGGAGUUCUGAGCUGCCUCUUGAGUCAUCAUAUUUUUUAGGAAGCACAACCACAAGAGUAACAAUGUUCGAUCCAUACAACAUUACUGAUAGUGAAAUUUUAAGGAUUAAUUGUUCAUGCUAUCCAAAAGGGCCGUUUACAACUUCAAGAUUGCAGAAGCAAAGCUAGAAAAUAGAGGCUCAAAAGUUUUGAAAGGAGGCAAAAGUUAUUUUUCAUAAAUCUCAAAAUAGCACAACCCCAUAUAUACUAUCUAUCCUUUAUUCCUCUUUUCUAAAGCUAACUUGUAUUUAUGCAUAAAUGUCUGACCUGUAUGAGUAUGAAGAAUGCAAGCGUUGAGGUUGAGAAUAUUAAACUUCAACUACAUUCCAUAGGAGUAUCCAAUGCUUCCUCGUGUGAACUUUUCCUCUCUUCAACAACGAAAACAAAAGCAUAUAUUAUAAAGCUAUGUAUAAUUAAGAAAAAGAAUUGAUUCCAUUCCACUGCUUUUAAUUAAUUCUCCCCACCACCUCUUGACUUACUCCUCAAGCCUCCCAACCUUUCCACAUGCAAAUGCCAACAGAUCAACUGUGAUUUUUGCAGCAAACCCACCAACUAAUCACCAUAAUUAAGCUACACAACAACAACACAAGCACCACUGAUUAAAACAAAGUGUUUUGUAAAAAUGUUUUUGAGACUAUAAGUGAUUUUUUAAAAAUGAUUGAUUUUUCUUCAAAACCAUUUUUUAUGCUACAGGUGCUUUUCAAAGCACUAUCAAACGGAUUAUUAGCCGACCCUCCAACCAUAAUUAACAUCAAUAUAUUUACUGAAAGGGAUUUGAUCAAGUGAGGCAUUGCAUUGACAGAAUCUGAGCCAUCGGAGUUUUGACAUUCGACAUUGAGACUCUUAAUCUUUGGCUUUAUUCUUGAUUCCCUAGGAACUCAAUGCUUUGUCACAAGGCUGACUGACCUGCACUCUAGCCUUACCCAUCUCCAUGAGUCCAUGGCAUGUAGUGGUAGCCUUUUAUGUCAAACCUAGGCCUCUUUUUCUUUUCUAAAUCUCACCUUUGCUUUAAUUUUUUCUUUUGAUUUUCAAAUUUUCAACCAUUAAUGAUGCUUAAACAGCUAAGAGGAUUGCAAAAAUUAGCGCUUAAGGCAUCAAAGCACCACUAGAUCAUGAUCUGAAGAUGUUAAUGGCAUCACUUUAUUUCUUGGAAAAGGCCAGAAGAUAAAAAUUGAUGAAAAAAGAAGUGAAAAUGAACCUUUGUUUAAAAGCAAUAGACCCUGAAAAGAAAAGAAAAUUUCAAAGUGGAAAAGAAAAAGAAUACCACCAGCUGCACCUCCACCACCCCCUCUACAACCCAGCCCAAAGUUCGAACUUUAUCGGAGUGCCCAAUUUCAUUGUCACCCUCACGGAAUCUUUGGUCAUGGGGUCGCAUAAUUUUGUAGCCAAAUAAAGAACUCACUGGCUUGUGGGCAUAAAAUAGAAGUCGAGAAUUAAGCCAUUUAACCCUCAAAACUUCAAAUCUUUCACACUUUUCCAAUUUCCUUUUAACAUUUAUGGGAUGCAAAGGAUCUUUUUCUCAUUGGGUAAUGAAGAAAGAAUAUUAUGAGCAACAAGUAAUGACAAGGAGCAAGGUAACAAAAAGAAUAGAGUGAGUUAGCUAGAUGUGGAUUGGAAAAUCCAGGAGAAGUCACUCUAAUCGAUGCUAUAAAUCUUGUCUGCCAUGAUCUAAGCAAGCAAUGGAAGGACUAGUACUUGGAACCAGUGAGAUUGAGCUGCAGGAAGGGGGCUCCACACUUGCUAACAGUGCUAAGAUAUGAACAACAAAACAUGAUCAUUAAGACAUGAUCUGCAAGUGUGAAGGGGCUCAUCAUAAGGAUAAUUAUUCUAAGAACAUUCUCUUUAACCCAAAUUACUAGAGAAAAAGAUAAAGGAAGGAAACAAAGCGACUCUCAAAAGCAAAAGUCCUCUGUCCCCUGGCCCAGUGUGUGCGUGCGUGUGCUUGGCCAGCUCUUACCCACCAGUCUAUUUGCUCUUCUCGGAGGGAUGAUGUUAACCAAAGAGCAGAAAAAAAAAAAAAAGGAGACAAGCUAUUUUUAAUGUGGUUUCAUUAAUGGGAUCCCUGAUUCCCUAUGUCUGUGAUGCGCAACGACACUUAAAAAAUUCACUAAUUAAAUAAAAGGGAAGGGUUACAAUGCUUAAGGCCCUCCCUCUCCUCUCAAUUUCGAUCACACUCUAAUUUUCUUAAAACAAAAUUCUAAAUCAUAGGAGGGUUAAAAAUACAAAAAAGGUAAACCAAUAAAUAAAUAAAAUUUCAAGAUGCAUUACACUCUUAAAUCCCGAUGAGUUAAUCGAAUGACUUGAUCCUACGAGCUCAACCUUUAGCAUUUCUUAUGUCAUGCAACAAGAUUGAUUCAGACUUCACAAUCUAUCCAAGAACUGCCCUAGGUUUUGAUCAUGAACAAUUUGUAAUUAACCCCGAUUUGAUAGAGAGAAGGUGGCAAGAAUUCGGUUGGCCAGAAGCAGCUAAAACCAACAAAGUCUGUAGGGAAAGAUAUCCUCUGUUUCGCCCAAGAAAGAUUGAUUGAAUCAUCAAUAAUUUGAAGCGUGAGUUGCAAUUAGAUCGAUUUUGUUUUUGGGGGAUCCAUUAGAAAGGAAGAUUGUUACAGGAUAUGCUAUGUUUGCAGUGAAUGAGUGAGUGAUUGAAGCUAGGCAGUGAGUGUGGGGUAGACUGUAGCGGAGGCAAAGAAACCAGCAAAAGCAAAAAAGAGGUAGAGCAGUGGCUUCAGCUUCAUGAUGCUUUAUUGCUUUAUCUUUCCCGCGUUUUGCUUUUUCAGCUAUAGCUCUCUUUUUUUGAGCCAAGGUGCUCUUAUCUCAAUCACACUCCCACUAAUUCUAUGCUACUUUUGUCUUCUUCUCUCUUUCUUUGCAGUUUGCAUACAUGCAAUCCUAUUUAAGGUCUUCAACAAUAUAUGGUGGGUGAUGCAUAGACAGAGACAAAAUCAUAAGCCACACUCAGGGUCAAGCCAAGAUGGAGAUAUUGUCACAGAUGUGGUCUUUCUUAGGCCUCCUCACUGUACUCCAAAACGUCUUGCCAUCCCAAAUUCUGUCACUUCUCCACUCCUUCUACGAGUCCCUUCAAGACUUCUUCUCCCCAUUCGCCUACUUCGAGAUCCCUGAAUUCAACGACUACUGCGGCGUCGACGUCAAUGACCUCUACCGCCAUGUCAACCUCUACCUCAACUCUGUCAACCCUGCCACCACCUGCCGCCGCUUCACCCUCUCGCGCUCCAAAUCCUCCAACCGCAUCUCCUUCACCGUCGCUCCUAAUCACACAGUCCAUGACUCCUUCAAUGGUCACACUCUCUCCUGGACCCACCACGUGGAGACGGUUCAGGACUCUCUGGACGAGAGGAGAAGCUUCUCCCUCAAGCUCCCCAAGCGCCACCGCCAGGCCCUCCUCUCGCCCUACCUCGAGCUCGUCACCUCUCGCGCUGAGGAGUUUGAGCGAGUCUCUCGCGAGCGAAGGCUCUUCACCAACAAUGGUCAUGGCUCCUACGAGUCCGGCUGGGUGUCCGUCCCAUUCCGCCACCCCUCCACCUUUGAAACCCUCGCGCUGGAGCCGCAGCUCCGGCAACAGAUAACGGACGACCUGACCGCGUUCGCCAACGGGAAGGAGUUCUACCAUAGGGUGGGACGCGCAUGGAAACGUGGGUAUUUGCUAUACGGACCGCCUGGGUCCGGCAAAUCGAGUUUGAUCGCAGCAAUGGCGAAUUACCUCUGCUACGACGUUUACGACCUGGAGCUCACCAAAGUCUCCGACAACUCCGAGCUCAGAGCACUUCUGAUACAGACCACUAACCGCUCCAUCAUCGUCAUCGAGGACAUCGACUGCUCAGUCGAUCUAACGGCGGACAGGCUGUCAAAGACGAAGAGAACGACACCGGCGAAAGGGUCCAGCAGAGACGAGGGUGAGGAGAACGGGCGGGUGACGUUGUCGGGGCUGUUGAAUUUCACCGACGGACUGUGGUCGUGUUGUGGGGAGGAGAGGAUCAUCGUCUUCACCACCAACCACAGGGACAAUGUUGACCCAGCGCUCGUUAGAUGCGGCCGGAUGGACGUUCACGUUAGCCUCGGCACCUGCGGCAUACACGCCUUUAAGGCCUUGGCCGCCAACUACCUGGGCUUGGAGUCCCACCCUCUGUUCGACGUCGUGGAGAGCUGUAUAAGGUCCGGCGGGACACUCACGCCAGCACAAGUUGGAGAAAUACUACUGAGGAAUAGAAGAGACGCUGAAGUGGCAAUCAAGGCGGUGAUAUCGGCAAUGCAGGCAAGGAUUUUGGGAGCCGAAAGGGAACCCAUAGAGUAUGAGGAGAUGGCGAAGUCGCCGGAGAGCGUGGAGAGGGGGCUGAUGGAGUCGCCGGAGAAUUGGGAGACGUCGUCGCCAGGGAAAUACGUGAGGAAGAAGAGGAAGGAGGGGGGUUCAGUUACAGGUUCAGGAAGUAGCUGGGAGAAGAAAGUCAAAUUCUUGGUGAGACUGAGAUCUUUGACCAAGUCUGACUCUGGAAGAAGGGGUUGUUAAUUGAAAGGUCAAAAUUUUGGGAUUGAAUUAGAUGUAAUUUUGUAGUUUCUUCCUUAAUUAAUAACUAAUUUAAGCUUUCGAUUAGUUAGUGACAUGGAUCCAAAGUCACAAUUUGUACAAAUGUCCUUAAAUUUAGCUUUAAUGGUAAUUUUGACGUAAACUUUAGUAUCAAAUUUUCAUAGCGCAAAUAGGUCAUUUUAUGGUACCCAAAAAGUAAAAAUGAUAACCAAUUUACAAAUUUUUUUUUUCAUUUUUUAUUCUACCAUAUUUCAUAUGAAGAAAUUAGUUUUAGAAAUAAUUUCCCAAUAUUUACAAGUGUGUAAAAUGUAGCAUAGCACCUCAACUUGAGGUAUUUAAAUUUGGUUUAGUUGGAUGCAACCAUUUCUACAAAUAUUUAUAAUUACGUGGCAGAAAAAAAAUCAAAAUAUUCUAAGAUUUAAAUCUACAAUUUUUGAGAAAUAUGACAAUAAUAAUUUGAAAUUUUCCUAAAAUAUUUUUAUUUUAUUAUAUUCAAGUGAUAAAUAAUAAUUAAUGCCCAUCUAGAUUUUACAUUUUGCAUUUGGGGUGGAUGGUCCACACAACAACCGGCACUAUUUCACGUGCGAAUACACACGAGUCCCACCACCAAACACACCACGUGGUGGAGGGAGGCCACGCAUUUAUUCGCCACACAACACAAAUAUCUUCUUCCCCUCCCCUCUUCCGAUAAAUACCACCCACCUACUGGCUACUGCCAAAAUUCUCACACCCCACCAACAACACACAAAAAAUGGGAGUGGUGAUAAUAGACGGAUCCACGGUGCGAGACUUCGUUGGCAACGACGCCUUGUUCAAUAAGAGCGUCGACGACCGCUUCUCUGCCCUUGACCUCAACGGCGACGGCGUCCUCUCCCGCUCCGAGCUCCGCAAGGCCUUCGAGACCUUUAGGCUCUUGGAGGCCCACUUCGGCGUCGACGUCGUCACUCCUCCAGAGCAGCUCACCCAGCUCUACGACUCCAUUUUCGAUAAAUUCGACUGCGACCACAGCGACACCGUCGAUCUGGAGGAGUUCCGAUCUGAGAUGAAGAAGAUCAUGCUCGCUAUUGCUGAUGGUUUGGGUUCCUGCCCCAUUCAGAUGGCUCUUGAGGACGAUGAUCAGAAUUUCCUCAAGAAGGCUGCGGAUUUCGAGGCCUCUAAGACUUCUUCCUGAACAACCACCCACCCUCAUGUCCUACCUCAUCUUUACUGCUGUAAUUUAGGGUUCCUUUUCCUUUAUUUUGUAAUCAAAACCUUUUGAUGAGGCUAUCUCAAUGUCAAAAAUCCAUUUCCCCCCACACCGUUUAAUCUAUUUAUUAAUCUGAUUUCAUUGGUUUAAACAAAGAGAACUAACCCAAUUCAUCUAAAUUCCAAUCACAUGAUGAAUAAUUGACAUUACAACCUCAACCCACUGAUGAUUUCAGUGGGUUUAAGCCAAUAAUACCAGGGGCGCUAAUUUUCAGAGUCAUCCCACCCACCUGCAAAACCAACAACCAGACCCCCGUAAAAGGAAGGAAAAAAAAACUCCAUCCCACUAUUUUUAUUACUUUUUCUUUUCAUAGGCCUAACCACCAGGAUCAAGGUGGUUUUAAGUUUUAUAUCCAAGACCAUAGGCACCGACAAUCAAUCAUAUGACAAGUACACUAAUUUGAUGAAUAUGUUGAAAAAAUAUCAAAAUCCAGUGUACCAUCCAUGUUACUUUUGUCUCAAAUUCCAAUCAUGAGAACAGUCCAAAUAAAAGUGUGAAUGGCCGAAGUUUACUAUGUCAUGAGAAAGUUCUGAAGACUCCAAGCAUUUUGCCAACGAGCAUAAAUGCAUAUCAACAACUCCAAAUGAGUUAAACCUUUCACUGUGUCCAAAAGAGGGAAAAUGAGACCACCCAAUGUGGAUUCAAUGCACAGAAAUAAAAAAUGAAACGUCACAUUUCGCAAAUGCGGAUUCAGUCCAAAAGUAAGUUAAAAAAUAAUACUACACUUCAACCUAAAUGAACAAAAAAAAAUUAAAAUGAGGUAGCCCCUUCGGAUUUUUGUUUACAUGGGAGGGCUGUUUUGGCCCAAAACUCUCUUCACCGCUUCAAGCUCCUUCACCCCAACCAAUGUGCGUUACCCGCCAUGUGAAUCCCAUGUGUAUUACAUAAUGCGCCCUCCAAAAAAGGUAGGAGUUCAAUACUGUUGAUCAUUAUAUACAAGAAUACCAUCGCAACUUGGUGAUAUAACCCAUUAGCGAAUAAUGAUCAUAGUGCUAACCACAAAACCAAGUACAAAAGGUUCUUAACCCUCGUAAUGCAAACUUAAUAAUUCUCUGGUUCUUUUCUAAACAACCUAGAAUGAUAACAAUAUACAAGCUUAUCACACACAAUGAUGACAAAAGGCCAGGUAAGUAAUUAUAAUGGUAACUAUUGUUAAGACCUCCAACUAUCAAUGCAGAUAUAACUUGAGCAAAAUCAAUUUCAUUAACAUGUUUGAAAGGAAGUGACAACAACACUUGCAGUUCUCCAUCAAACAAAGCAUAUAAAAAACAAGACACUCCAUUUAAUAAACAUAAUUCCAAGAAAAAAACAAAGAGGCUAAUGGGACCAAAGAUUAAUAGAGAUUAGCUUAGCGUAGCAUAUACAUGAGCUGAACUAAUAUUUUACAUCGAUAAAUUAGCUCAGCAUUUUUGGCUUACAAUGCAAAAUGGGAUGUUCUCAGAAACCUUUCAUAUUUCCAAGCACCCUGAGGAGUACUGUACCCUUAAACCCAUUAAGUAUUCUCAGCAUAUUACAAGAAAAACACAGCACUCUUUCAUUUAUGCAAUCAAACAAAUUAAUCAAGGCAUAUGCCCAAUCAUGCUGUGCAGCCUUGUACCAACACACACUUAAAAGUAUCACCUUAAAUGUUUUAGACUCAAUGAUAUGUAUCAAAUUAUGCUGGCUUUUACUCAAUGAAAAGGAGUCAUCAUGCUGUUAAAUGUCGUUAAUCUCACUAACUUUACUUACGACCAACAUUUAUUCCAAUAAGCAUCAUGAAUCCCACUAAUUUCAUUAGGACCAACAUCAUUGCAUCACAAAUGUACAAAACAUUUUUUGAAUAAAUGCAACAUACUUGUGUCAACCAUCAGUUCCUGGUUGUAAUCACAUCCUUUAUGCCAUGACAAUGAGAAACUGCGUUCAAAACCACAACCACCAAAACUAAAAAUAGGAAAAGUUCUAAUCUAACACCAAAAUUUCCAACUCCAAACGGAACAAGACAUUUAUAAAUGCAAGUCACAACUUUAUCAAGUGAAGCACAAAUUUAAAUGACUAAAAUUCGAACUAAUACAUUUAGAGCUAAAAUUAAGAUGGUAGGCCACAUCAAACUCCUCAAAAAUCACCCCUAAGGUGAGUUCCAAACAAGGAUAUGCUAUUUGCAGAACCACUUCUACCACUUGAUGUCGUGACAAGUUGUUUAGUAGGUAAAAAAGCAUGCAUUUUAUUUCUUAACUCAGUUUCUACCAUCAAUCACCACUUAUCACAUUGGUUAGAGUAAAAGCCAUUGUUUUUUAAGAAGAAAGAAUUGAAUGUUACUAUUCACUUUAUCAUCUUUUGAAGAGAUGAUUAAUAAGAUCAGAACAAUGAUGAAAGCCCCAUUCUACAUAUCAAAGUAGAGGAAAUCUAGAUUUGAAUGAUUCACAGUAUACAUCAUUAUUGAAGCAAACAAAAUUGGGAUGACCCAUGGGAUCACCACCAUCAUUGCCCUGUUCCCAGCAUGAAUUUGGAUAGGGUAAAUCAUGAUAAUCCACCCAAAUUGAUGAUGAGAAUGGGAGCUUUGGCAGCUGCAAAAAGCAAAGGGAAAUCAAGCUGUAACAAGAUCACACAGAAACAAUGUCGGAACAUCUGAAUGCAUAAACCCAGCGAAAACAAAGAGGCAAAUGCCAGAAUCUCCGCCCCGUUGUCACUGUAGGCAACGUACAGCGCUGAAUACGCUAUUGGGAAAGCGUAUCAGAGACUCUAAUUUGUUGCCAUGCACUACCAAAAGCAAUAUCACAGAUGAAAUAAAAUCAUCCAAAACAAUAAUUUCAAAGUAAGAAAAGGCUCAGAGAGUAAUGAUUCUAGAUAGCAUCAACAAGCUUCCAAGCUUUCAUAGUUUGAUGGUAUACGAUUCUCGUCAUCGCUGCCUCCUCAUCAACAAUUUUGAUUAUCCCAGACAACCCAUGAAAAUUAAAGAGAUUUAACAGAGAACCCAUAAAAACUCAACUCCAAAGAAGGCGAGAUCAGACCUUAACCUUGCGAACUGCUGUUGGAUGGUGAAAGGGACCUGAGGAAUAGAAGGGUUUAUAUGGGAGAGCCACAAACCCUAACCUUGCUUUUGAUUUGGGCCUUAACGCAAACAUUCCGGCCCUAAUAUUUGGAAGGCCCAUAGACGAGCCCAACUCGGUCCAAGUCCACAUCUAGCAUUUAAAUAAAAAAAUUUAGCUCAAUUUAUCUAAAAAAAAACCACGUUUGAAUAAUGGACAUAUUUCUUAUGAAAAUAAAAAUAAUGAUAGUUAUUUUAGUAGUUAAUUUAUAUUUAAUGAAAAUUUUGUAACAAAAUUGUGCUUUUAAAAUCAUAAGUUCAACUUGGGUUUUAGCCUUAAAAGUUAAUAUGUCUAGUGAUAAAUAAAAUUAAAAAAAAAAAAAAAACCACUCUUCUUAGUAGCUCAUUUAAAAGACAGGUUGAUGAUACUAAAAGUUUGACCUAUAAGGGGCCUUAUUAUCAUCGACUUCAUGAAUAGUUGCUUUAUAAAGAAUAUCAAUUUAUUUGCUUGAUUUGAAAUGUGGUGGAGAUUUUGACUCUAAUAUCACUUUAAUUUCCCGUUGAGUGAUGGCUCUCCCAUCACUUUUAUCAUUUAAAUUAAUUUUGAUCAUUUUAUUAGUGAAAUUUACGUUUCUUAACUAAAUAUAAAUGGAUGAUGUUGAUGUUAUUAAUUAGCUGAAAGCAUGAUGAAGAUUUGGUUAUGAUAUUACUGUAAUUCCUAUUUUUCGAUGAUGGUUUUCUUACUUCUUUAUCUUUGUAAUUAAUAUUCAUCAUUUUGUUAGUGAAAUUUAUGUUGCUUGGAAAUAAAAAGAAAUAACAUUACUACAAUAAGGUAAUAUAAAGAUAGUUUAUUAAUUUAUGGAGCGGUUUAAAACUUUAUUUAUCUUUAAGUAACAUAGUAUACUACCAAGAAAAUAUUUCUUGUCUUUUGAAAAGUCAUUUUUAUUAUUUAAGAAAAUUGUCACAUGUUGGAUGACAAUUAGUUUGGGUUUUAGUAGAAUAUCUUUAAUCAAAAGACUCGUUAACUAAAAAGUUUAUUUAAUUAAAAAUAUUAAUUCGAUUAAAUACAUCUAAGAAGAUUGUCAAGUCAUGAUGAGUGGACGGAUUCACCCACUUGUAUACGGCUACGAGUUGAUGUGUAUGGAUUUAUGAUCCAAAAAGACGCAUAAAAUUUAAAGAGGAAAAAGGAUGCGUCGCCUGAGAGAUUCGAACUCUCGCGGGGAAACCCCAUGUACUUAGCAGGCACACGCCUUAACCACUCGGCCAAAGCGACGGUUGAAAGAAGACAACAGCUGAUAUUGUAUUUGAUAUAUUACUUUUAAUAAUAAUAAAAAUAGUGUCACCGUCAAGUCUGUUUGGAGUCUGGACUACCCACCGUCUCAUUCAAACUAAUCCAACCCCCGUCACCAAAAACAACUCUCAACCCUUGAGCCUUCUGGAUCCAAACAACAUUUUUGGUUUUCCUUCUUUCUCUCUCUUCCUCUCACCCCCAAACCACCCUCUGUCUCAGGUGACGUCAUGUCGGCCACCGCCGCCACCACCCCCACCACUCCCACCGCCGCCACCGCCAUUGACCGCCGCACCUACUGGUGCCACGAGUGCGACAUGAGCGUCACCCUCUCCCCGUCCUCCUCCUCCUCCCCCACCCUCCUCUGUCCCCACUGCCACAGCGACUUCCUCGAAGAAAUGGACUCCCCCAACCCCAACCCCAACCCCAACCCCACCGCCCCCAACUUCUCCUUCCAUUCCGAAAACUUCCUCCUCGACAGCCCCUACCUCCACCGCCUCAUUCACCACCUCACCCAUCCCUCCGACACCAACAACGACGGAAAUGACAGCAGCGACCUCCCCCCUCCUCGCUACCUCAAUCCCAAUUCCGUCGCCGCCUCCAGGGCUUCCCUCGAAGCCCUCCCUACCUUCAAAAUCACUCCCUCCUUCCUCCAACUCGAUCCCAUUUUGUUCUGUGCCGUCUGCAAGGAUCAGUUCGUCGUCGACGUUGAAGCCAAGCGGCUUCCCUGCAACCAUAUCUACCAUUCUGAUUGUAUUCUCCCCUGGCUCUCGCAGCAGAAUUCGUGUCCGCUGUGUCGGUUUCGGCUCCCCACGGAUGAGGGUGAGGAUUCGGGGGAUGCGGGGGCGACCGUCACGAUGACCUUUGGGGAUUUGAUGGAGGACCAUGAGCUGUUUGGGCUGGGGAGUACUUUGAGGCACAUUGCCCGGAGGAAUAGGCUGGUCUUUCCGGCCUUGUCUGCGGAGGGGCAGGCGCAGGCACAGGGUGAAAGUCUAGGGCCUGAUAACAGUGUGGAGACUGUUUCCAGCUGGCCUCGUCAGGUUUUGGUUGGCGGCGGUGGCGGCGGUGGUGGUGAUGCAGAUUUUGGGGCCGGUGCUGUGGCGAAUGAGGAUGCUGAUGCUAUGAUGCCUGAAGUUAGGGUAUCGGGUUCUGUUUCGGCUUCAUCUUGAGGUGUGUUUUAACUGCUUUCACCCUCUCCCAUACUCCAAUUUCUCAUUUAUGCAAUUGAUCUAUUUAACUAUAUUGAAAUUCCAAUUGAACUGAUGUAUGUCACCUGGAUGAGCACCAUAUCAGAGUUUGAUCCUAUUCUCUAGUUCUUCAGAUGGAGAGUAGUGCAAAUUGUGGGAUGCACCUCUCUGUAAUGGGUUUCUGGGUGCUAUUGCUAGUACUGGUUCACUGUCCAUGUUAUCCAUAAUGUUAGAGUGAUUGGUCCAUGAUGUUUUGCUUUGAAGUAGUUUUCUGGGGCCUAGAAGUUUUGUUUAUCUGGAGACCUAACUGCAAACAAGAGGAAGGUAGAAUUUGGCUGCAGUAGAGGCCUUACACCAACUGGGUUUCAGUUGCAUUCCCACAUCGAUUCCAGUUGGAAUUGGGAUUGACGACUCAUUCCUUAGAGCUUAAACCAAGUAAACCAAACUCGUGGAGUAAUGAUAUUAGACAUUAGACCCUGCUAGCCCAAAAUGGACUUCUUGCAACCCAGCCUUGAUGGGAAGAGCUUGUGCCACUGGAGGAUCUGUAUACUCUGUCAAAUUUGUUGUUUCCCAGGAUGGUUCUUCUUUUAGAAGUUCAAUUGUUUGGAAUGGUGCAGGUUUAAAUAGUAUUCUUUUUUUAGAGGAAGUUAAAGCUUAGAAUCAUCAAACCUAACUAGUUAAGCUAGGUUGGCUAAAAAAGAUGCUGAUAUGCUGGCCAAUAGAGCAGACAACUCCUCUUUUAAGGAGUUUAAUGGGUGCUUUCUCCCCCAUUGAGCUUAUCCAUCUUAUGUUACUAGAUUGAGGCAUUGUUCUUUACUUCUUUUUCUUUUCUCCCAUUAUCUUUCUUCUUGCACCUCAUUUUGCCUUAAAGACUUCUCAUCCUUCUAUGUGAUUACCUCCUUUCUAUUUAUCCUCUUCUUGUUUCUUAUCCAAAAAUGGAAAAAGGAAAAGGAAAGGAAAGAUUACCUUGUUAAGUUCAAAUUAACUUUUUAUUCUCAUAGUCUAUCCAAAGUUUGUGGAUAUAAAGUUAGAUUAUGUGCUCAGGAACUUCUCAUGGAUGGUGAAGGGGACAAGUUUAAAUGUCGCUUGCUUGAAUGGGUGAAGAUUAGUGUGGGUAGAAUAAGAAGUUUUGAGCAAGUUUAAGACUAUGUUUGGUUCUCAGAAAGUGGUAAGGAAAGAAAAAAAAUGUUAAGGAAAAUGAUUUUCUUAUGUUUGGUUUUACUAUGAAAAGUACAAAAGAAAGUUAAAUAUAAUUAAAAUUAGUAAGCAACUUAUAUAUUUUUAAAUUAUUUAAUCUUUAUAUAGAAGAAUUAAAUAAAUGAAAUGAGUGUGAAGUAGAAUAUAAAAAUAAUUUAUUGAUUUUAAAUCUAUUUUUUAUUUUCUUUUACUUUUUUUUUCCUUCUACUUUUGUUCUCUAUUUUCUUUCCUUUGCAUUUUCCCGCAAACUUUCCAGAAACCAAACAUAGCCUUGAAAGGGUGAAGAUCACUGUGGGCAGGUAAGAAGUUUUAAGCUUUUAUUCCUGGUGUCUUAGUUCAACAUGAUUGUUAAUAAGUAGAACUUGCAAGGUUAGGUAAAGCACAUUGUAAUUUCUUAUGGAUGGCAAGGUGAAGGAAGCAAUAAGAGACAUCACAUGAAUGGGUAAGCUUAUAGUGGAGGAAGAUCCAUGAGGUCUGGACUUCUAAUCUUUUGGCCAUCUUCUUUUAUUAUGUUUGGUAUUGAAGGGGUUGACUGUAUAAGCUGCAAGGAGCAGUCAUGGUAAUCAUGGGCUUGCAAAAGAAGAUAGGCCACAUGUAAUUACUUAUGGGCCCUAUGAAUGGAAUUUACAUUGAAGAAAUUGAAAUCUAGAUGAAUUUAACUGGGAAAUCUCAUAAAGAUGGACAAAAAUGAUGGGUGCAUGUUUUAAGGAAAACAUUGUUGAGGCGGUUUUCCUUUAUUCACCUACAAAUUGGGGACUUCAAUUGAGUUGGUCGGCUGAUGAUUAGGUGUCUGCUUCUUUCUUUGAACUUGAUUUCAGCUGAGACUCAAAUAUGUUUGGCAAUUUUACAACAAUGUUGAACAUUUCUCUAAGAGGAAGAUUAAGUUUCAAAAAGUUGGAGUUGCAAUUCUUUUUGUGAUUUCUGUAGGUGUCAUUAGUCCUAGGGAUGAUAGAUUUAUAUAAUCCAGCCUUCAUCUCAUAUACACACUAUAAAGAUAAAAAAGGAUUGUAGUGUGAUGAUGCAUGACUCAUACGACAGCAUUCAGUGACCUCCCAUCUUGAAUCUGAAUGCUUCUCAAGACUAUUAACACCGCACCACAGGUGAAAGAGCCUUGGGGAGACUCUUCCCCAACAGACUGCUUUGUGAGUUCCUUUGAAUCCAUCUGAAUGAUAAAGGUGCUCAACUGCAAAAUUGUGUCGUCUGUUAAUCCUUAGAAAUGGAGCAUCUGUUGUUCUUAUCAGUUCAAUUAAAGUUUUUUUUUUUCAACAUACUAAUCUAGAUCCCUUACCAGGUGGGUUUAACUUCUCCCUUUUCAUCUGUUUGCAGGUAAUGUAUAGCUGACUGUUACAUGGAAUCUGAGGGGUAUUUUAUCACCAUACCUCGUCUAAUGAAGUGUAAAUCUACAGAGGAAGGCGGUCUAAUAACCCAAUGUUAUGUGUGAUCUGUAUUCUCUCUCUGUUGUUUUCUGCAGCAAUGGGGAAGGAACUCUUUGCUUUGUAAUGAUGCUCUUGUGAACUAGUUUCUAUCAUGUUUUUGGUUAAUAAAUUUCCAAGGUCAAGCUGCUUUUUUUCCCCCCCUUUUUUUCUCUAUUGCAUUUUAAUUGCCAGACUGCAGCCACUGCAAGGCCAUCAAACUGCCAAUUAUCAUCAUUGUGGGAAAAUAUUCAAAGUCUUGUUGUGUCCUUCACUUCAUCUAGAUGAGCAUCUUUCACACGUUUGUAAGGGUCCAGCUCCAUCUUACCAACAUUUAUCCCAUCAUUCUAACCCGGUGGGUGCAUUCGAGCAAGACCAUGAUUUUCUCAUUAGACCCAAUUCUUUGGCAGAUGAUUGGAUACUGAAAAUUCUUUAAAGGGAUUUUCGAUUUUGGGUUAUAAAAUUGUAUAUAAAAUUUGAGAUAAUUCUUACUUAAAGAUAAGGAAUACAUUGCCCACUGUGGGUGUGCUUCCUUUGUCCUCAGGCUGCUUGUCAAUUAGCCCACUAGAUGGUUCUAUGCUUAUAUUAAGCAUAUGCUAUUGUAGUAGUCAAGAGUCAAGACACGUUUCUUUUGGUUUUUUUAUUUUUUUUAUUUUUUAUUUAAUAUAUAUUUCAUUUUCAUUUUACAUCAUGUGGGCGGUGGACAAAAGCAAAGCGAUAUGGAUGAUGGAUUCCAAUAUUUAUAUCCACGGAAGCAACACGGCACGGACUCUAUCUGUUGGAUCUGGACUGUGACACGGACACCCAGGCUGCCACUCGUGUUGUACAAGCAAAAAUCCAACAUGCAGUCACACCCACACACUUGGAAACAAGCUCUGCCAAACCCUUCUCUUUUUUUUUUUUCACUGUUUGCCACAUCUUCAACAUUCUGAUCAAACUCCCCUUGAAUGAAGCUUCCUCAAUCAACUUCCAAGAAGACCCACAAGUCAGACAAUGACCAGACUUGAGGCCCUCAAUGAGGGAAAGUGAGAAACUUCUCUGCUUCCACCUAGAGCACCUUUGGUUUUACUUUUAUUUUGCCCUGCACCACACAUGACACCAUUCAUUUGAAUAUUUUGUUAUCCAUGUGGAUCUAAGUUGGAUGAGCUGAAAAGUCAGAGAGGUCGGCUUCCCCUUUUAUAUAAGAGACUUUGCAUGGAACAAUUUUCAUUCACUUCUCUCCGAUCCAAUCAGCCUUACAAAAUCAAUUAGUCUAGCUAAUCUUCAGCCAUGGCCUUUGAGAGCAGCUUAGCAGACAUGGUGUUGAAGGUGGGCAUGUUUGUUCUUGUCCAAGCUUUGGUUUAUCUGAUCCUUUCCAAGUCUUCCAACAUCUUCUCCAAGAACCCGAAGAGAUCUCACAGGUUCAAACCAGCCCGGUCUGUCAGUAUUCGUCGAGUUCUUGCUUGUCUUGCUGACCUACCCCCUGGAGGCGAACUCUCUCCUUCUCCUUCUCCAAAGGGCCCUCAGUUGCUUCCCCCACAAAAUUCAGCAACUGACCCUCAGACUCCCACAUCUUAAGAGACUUCCAUGCAUGGAUUUGUAGCAGAGCAGAAGAUUGCUGAUGGCUUGGCUUCUUGUGAUAGAUUUUAGACGUGACUUGAAUUUGAUAUUUAUCUGAAUUUAAGUUAUUCUUUUGUUUUGUAAAUUUGGUAGUCAAUCUAAAUACCAUAUUAUAGUUUUGAAAAUUUUACUUAUUAAGACUAGUUGUAUGCUUUAAGGUAGUUGAAUUUCAAUGAUCCUUUUGAUGUUUUGGGGAAACCACCCAUAUCCAGCCUCUGUAUUCCCUUGUGCUUUGUAAUGGUAAACAUUCACAAUCUUGUGGAACCCAUGUACUGUGAUUUGGUGCUUGGUCACUGGAGCUGUUUUCUUAACAGUCCUCAUAUGAGAUGAAACCUCUUCCAAAUCAUGGAUGCCACUGCUUGUUUUUAUUGAUAUCUAGAUGAGGGCCACACCUAACAUUACUUGAAACAGCAAGCAUGAAUGAUUGGUUUCGUACUUAUGCAUCUUCAUCUCCCUUACACCAACUUUUUGCAGCUAACAAGUGACCCUCAAUCUAUAUUCUAACCACAAUGGAGCCCUUACGGGGUCCCCUCAUGAUUUUCUGGUCUACAUCUACAAGUAACCUCAUUGCUAUUGUGGUAUAGAUUUCAUAUUCACAGCAUUUUCUGCACCUAAUGGUCCAGACUCCAGAAACACGUCAAUCGAGUUUAUUAAAGCUAUUAAUGCAAUGCAAUAAUGUGCCUAAUCCUAAGGUUAACACUUGAUACAAAUAUAGUUUUCCAUUAGGAGGCGGCACAGUCCACAGGAGCAAAAGAAAUGAACCCAGCAUCAAGGUCAUAUCCAACAUAAUAGUUCAUUUGCUGAAAGCUUCCAAGCAGGGACAUCUCUUCAAGCCCUUCAGAAGGUAGCAUUGCAAGGCACCAUAGCCCCUCUUGUGCUUCUAUGUAUGUAGUCUGCUUUGUUAGCAUGACAUCUGCACCAUCAAAAUGGAAAGUUAUGUCGGGUCCUGCAGCAUCCAGUUCAUCAAAACUCCCCUCGAAGCACAUCCUGUAGCGUCCAGAGUUAUAUUGUUUUCCUGGUAAACGUAUUACUUUGCUCAACAUAUAGACUAAAAGAUUGAAUGCUUCAGACCUUAAUACCGUGAAUUCUGAGCCAGAAUCAACUAUAAAUCCUCCUCCCUCUGAGGUCAUAUCAAAUAUCCCAUCUGGGAAGGGGGCCUUUUCGUCUCCAACACUGAUUCCCAGAAGAGUGACAUAGUAAUAGAUAUGCUCUCCUUGUAGAAAUGGAGUUUGUCCACCCAUGAGCACUGAGAGCGAUCCGAAAUACAUUCUGCUUCCCGAUCCUUGAUCAUCACGUAUCACCAUGCAGUAGGAGAACUUCUUUAUUUUCAACUGUGAGACUAAAGAGUGUGGAUCCCGGUUAAGGCCUACAACACCAGCUUCGUAGCCUUUAAAAGUCCCAAUUGUAUAAUCGGAGCAGCCAAACACCAAGUGGCCAACAUCAACCUUAUUCUGGUUAGAGUCUUCAAAGGCAAAUGCAUCACUUGAAAGAGUUCCUCCAGUUGAAGUACCACCAUCACCAUAUUCUAUCAUAUAGCAACAAUCUUUUUCAUCACUACCGCAGGGAAAUGCCCAGGUCUCCUCACAGGCUGGAGAAUCAGACGGUACUGUGUUGUAGGUGGAAGAUUUGGAGGGGUCGAAAAUAGGUGACGUUUGUUCGAAACACUUUCUGCAUGGAAGGCACUGAUGCCAUAUGAGUCCACUUCCUGUGUCAGGAACGGCAUAUAUUAGAUGAGGGGGGCUUCCCACAUUGUACAUCAUUAUAUAGCUGAAUCCCUCAGGAAUCAAUUUUGGGGACAAAUCUUCAACCAAGGAUUGGGACGUAUGUGAGUUGAGGUACCUGAGACGGGCUAUGGAGCGGUUAGCUGCCAGAAUGGCCCGAUCACUGGUGCUCAAAUUGGGGUCAUAAAAGGGGGAUGAAGGAGAGUCACGGUGGAUCAGAUGUACCACAAAACCGUCACUAAUAGUACUAAUAUUGUCGUGAUGGGGUGUGGUUGGAGGAAUGAGGAUACUUGAUAUUAGAAAGAUUACAGCUCUGAGGAAGAAAGAGGCAGCACCCAUGAUCAACUGAGACAAAUAAUGUGAUGUCUGGGCGCAUCCUUUCUAUGGGAACAAGGGUGUAUUUGAUCAUACUGGGACUAUAUGUACCAGUUAAUAGCCAGCAUUCCAGGAGGGUAAAAAUCACAGAAAGAUUGAGUUUAGUCACUAUGUACAUUCACACCCUUGAAAUAUAUACUUUCUCAUUACUCAUUCACUUGCCAUGACUACUAUUUUUUAUGUUUUGGUGAACUGAUUAUUCUGAUUACUAAUCUUAGAUUCAAUGCUUCUCAAGAAAAGGCUCGAAGUCUAUACUAGAAAUUGGCACAAUCCACUGGAGAAAAAGAAACCACCUGAGCUUCAAGGUCAUAUCCAACAUAAUAGUUCUGCUGCUGAAUAUUUCCAAGUAUAGAGACUUUCCAAAGGCUAUUAGACGAAAGCAUGGCCAGGCACCAUAGCCCCUUUUUCCCUUCCACAUAUGUAGUCUGCCUGGUCUGCUUCUGCUUGGCCAUUGGGAAAACAGGGAGAAGAGAAUGAGUUGCGUACACCAUAUUUUGAGCAGAACUGUUUGAACUUUGCACUGUCAAAUUGAGGCUCAUUAUCAGAUAAAAUAGCAUGAGGAAUACUAAAUCGGCAUAAUAUGCUUUUCCACACAAACUUGAUGAGAUCGCUAUCCUUCUACUCGAUUAGUGAAAUAGUCGGUGGCAACAAGAAGGAAUUUCUUUUGAGAGGGUGUGGUUGGUAGAGGUCCGACUAUAUAUAUUCCCCAUAAAGAGAAAGGCCACGGGUUAAUCAUAGGGUUAAGUUCUUCGGUUGGUGUGUGUAUGAUAUUUCCGAACCUUUGACAUUGAUCACAUUGAUUACUAGACGAGUUUCUAGUACGACAAUGACAAUGUCUAAUGUAGUCUAUUCCUCUUGAUACGACUUACACUCCUUUACAUAGAACCUCAACUUCUUAGCUUGCACCAUGCUUUCAACUAGGUGUUUUUGAAGUUUUGACAAUCAUCCAUGGAAUGGUCAUUGUCUUGAUUAUAGUUGCAAAAGCAUGAUCAACCAAUCGCAUUAUUUGAGUCCCUCCUCAUAGAUUAUGACUAGGUGAAUCCUUCCAUUCCCUCGAUCACGGGAAGGAGGCGAGAAUAAGACAUGGUAUGAUAGUUACAAGAGCAUGAUCAAUAGAUCGCAUUAUUUGAGUCCCUUCUCAUAGAUUAUGACUAGGUGAAUCCUUCCAUUCCCUCGAUCACCGGAAGGAGACGAGAAUAAGACAUGGUAUGAUAGUUACAAAAGCAUGAUCAAUAGAUCGCAUUAUUUGAGUCCCUUCUCAUAGAUUAUGACUAGGUGAAUCCUUCCAUUCCCUCGAUCACUGGAAGGAGGCGAGAAUAAGACAUGGUAAGGGCAGUAUAAGGGCGUCCUCGGUCGAAUCCUCAUUCAUAGUUUGUUCGUCUUCACUGGUUCUGUUGAGAAAAAGUUUUGUCCCUCCAUCGAUUGGUAGAGUCCCUUGUGUGGCGAUGACCUUCAUCCUAGGUUAAGGCCACCUUGCUUUGUUGCAACACGAAGGUCAUCUUCCAACAUUGAGUAUUUGUUAGCCCUUUGGAACAGUUCGUCUAUAAACCCGAGAGGAUUUAGAGAUAUGGAAUGGGAAAAUGGAGUAUUUGGAAAGAUGGCCUGCAUAACCGUGUCCAUGCUGACCCUAUCCAGUUAAAAUAUUGCUCCCUCAAAUCUUUUCAUGAAACUAUGGAUAAACUCUCAUCGCUCCAUUUUCACAUGAAAUAAACGAGCAACGGCUUGCUUCCGUCUCAUGAACACAAAUACUGGUUGGCAAAGAUUUCAGAUAACCCACGAAAUGAAUUGAUCCAGUUAAUCGAUAGUCGGGGAACCAAGAGAAAAGGCCCCUACAAACUUGACAGAAACACUUUACAUAAUAAAGGAUCAUUUUUGCUUUUAAGAGUCAUUACUUGGCGAAAGAGCAUCAAGUGAUUGAAGGGAUCUCCAAAUAUUCCAUUAUACAUGUUUGAAUUUGAGCAUUAAGAAAUGUUGUGGUGCCUCUUACCUUAGGAUGUUGUGCAUGAACGACAUGGUCGUCGUGUUGUUCAAGAUUCCAAAAGGUUGUGUUCUGGGUCCAUAUUGGUCGAUUUGUGAGACGAAAAGGGAUAUACCAUAAGACUCACAUGACAGUCCACAUCAAGCUGUCCUCAACCUGGCCAUUGCUAGAAUGUGAACUAGUUUUUUUUUUUUUCUUGCGAGCGAAGGAACCAUGUUGAGUUCCUCUUUUUCAGGGUGGGGAUUGGGUGUGGCACCAACACCGGUUCAUCAGUAGGUGUGGCCAGUUGGAGAGGAGGCUAUAAUCUACCGAUUAACUUAGAAUCAAUGUGUAUUGAGGGUUCCGAGCUACUACAACAACAUUGAGUAUCCGAUUUCCCCAUUGCAAAGCUUCAGUAGCGGAGAUGAAGGCCUCUAUUUGCUUGCAAUGCUCAUCUUACUGCUCUUUCCACUGUCUUGCCAUUAGGGCCAUCCACUCCUCCAUCGCUAGGUGCUAUUCUCUCAAUUGAUCCACCGACACUACCAAAUGUAAUGUCUCUAAAAAAUUCUUUAUACGCAAACCACCAUUAUAUACUCAUCGUGAUUCGUUUUUAUUGGUCACUUUUCCUAUCAAAGGAUAAAACCUCUCGCCUCUUCUGUGGAAACAUCCUUAGGAAGGUCAAAUCCAUAUAAGAGGACUAGUAUUAGCCCCUUGACAUACACGAACCAUGCAGCACUAAGGCUUCAUGAAGAAACACUAAGGCUUCAUGGGGCGGCACCUUGGUCUCAUGAGUGACAUGACAAUAACAAGGUGACACAAGGGAGCAAUGCCUUGCGGAAGGAGAUGACUUGGUGAGCCAUGGGCACAAUGCAAUACACAAAGGAGCAAUGUCGCGGAUGCAGCAGCAUGUUGCCUUGACAUGGAUGCAAUCUGAACAUUUAGGCCAAAAGAAAGCAUGACAUGCACACCAACCACAUAUAUAGAUGCAUGCCACAACAACAUGAAGAGUUGGACUCAAAGUGGGAUUGCAAGCUAAGCACGAGAAGGAGUCUUGAUGUCUAUUGUAAUUGUAGUCAGUGGGACUAGGACUCUAAGUCCUAGUAGGAGUGGGUGUACCAAAACCUAUUAGUAAGAGUCCUAGUAGAACUAGGAUGUGUACUCCUAGUCUGAUAAGGAGUGGCUGGUGACCACUCUAUAAAAGGAGGACCGAGCCUCCUUGACAAGGAGUGAGAUCUAGAGAGGGAGAUGUGAGGGAAACUUAAUCUCAUUGAGAUUAUUGUGGGAGUGUGGCCCAAAUCUUGUAUGCUUAUUCAGUUAUCUAAUAAAAUAAGUUGGGGUUGGUGCCCUAUAAGUCUCACGUGUGCCUUUGUGUGUUGUUGUCAUAUCUUGUGGGAAAGAUAUAAUGUGGACCCAUAUAGUGUAGACCUAUAUUUUUUAUGUGCGUCCCCAUUCAAUGACAAGACUCAUUUUUAUUAGUAAAACAUUAGUUUUAAAAAAAUUGGAGUCGCUACUUAUUUUAUUUUAUUUUAAAAGGGAAAAUAAAACAAAAAAGAAAAUCUUAAAGAAGUGAUUUCAUAGUUUUGGAAAAGUAAGUCUUGAAAAACCCGAGUCUUAGUUCGGGGAUCAGGUUACCUAUUGGAAAGGUACAUCUAAGAGGUAACACCCCUCUAAGCCCUAAAAAAGUCUUUAUUGACUAAGUUGAGGGAAAAGUGACAAUUAAUCAAUUAAUUGAAGGUACCUAAAUAGGCUAAGGUGAUUUUAGAACUAGUAUGCCAAAAAAGAAAUCAAAUCACAAUCGCAAAGGAGGGUUUGGAUGUGUAUCUAGACUGCCUCUUAAGCGCUAUCAUAAGACAUUAAAAUUAGCACAGAAAUAUAGCACAUGCAUGACAUGUAUUUAAUUAGAACAAAUUGAACAUACAUCUAAGCACCAAAGGAUUACAUCAAACAUAGAUAUAGAUAUGACUCACAACAACAUGCAUGUUCAUAAAAUUCCAAAAAGUAGGUGAUAGAGAGUGUACCUAGAUAAUAUGCAUAAUUGAUAAGAUUCCUCCGAAAAUGUUAGGGUGGUUAGGACAAGUAUAAAUUACAUAACAUCUUCAUUAUGUCUAAUAUGCAGUACCAAAGUCAAAAUUGAGUCAAGUUAAGUCAAAUGACUCAAAAAAAUAACAAUAAUUUCAAGUAAAGUACAAGAUCAUCAGCAUGCAAUUAGAAAAGGGAGCAUCACAAAAUAAUUUCUAAAAAAAAUGUCUUGGAGUGGAAUUUAAUUACGAAAAAUUUCAGGAAACAACACUUACACUUUUAGAACAACAUAUCAAAAACCGCACUCAUUCAAAUGACAAAUUGCAGCAAAGACAUCCAAAAGUUCUACAAAGUCUAGAUUAUGUAAAAAAAAAUAAUGACAUGCAUAAACGAAUUUUUAAAAAAAUAAUAAGAGAUCACAUAAAAUCAUACAAAAAAUCACACACAUUUUUCAAAGUGUUUGUAUCACAUAAAAAAUGAAUCCAAGUUAGAUAGUACUCAAAAAUAUUUUUAAAACACUUCAGUUAAUCAGAUAUUCAGAAUCCAUCACGUGCCGUAGGUACGAAUUUGAAAAAUCAUAUCUCCCUCAAAAAAACAUAUUUUUUAAUAUUUUAUAUGUCUAAAAUCAAUUUCAGGAAGUGUAGAAUUAAAGAAAAAUAUUAAAUCAAAUUUAAAAAGUCAUCUGUUAUUAAAUUUUUACAAAAAGAUUUCGGGUUUCCAGGGUGAAAAUAGAGCCCUUAAUACCCUGAAGUGUCUAGAGUUACAUUGUUUUCCUGGUAGACGUAUCACACUGCUCAACGUAUUGACUAAAAGAUCGAAUGCUUCAGACCUUAAUAUCGUCAAUGAUGAGCCAGAAUCAACUACAAAUCCUCCCCCCUCUGAGGUCCAAUUGAAUAUCCCAUAAGGGGACCUUUUCUUCUCCAACACUGAUCCCCAGAUGAGUGACAUAAUAGAGCUUCACUCCUUGCAGAAAUGGGGUUAGCCCACCCAUGAGCACUGAGAGCGAUCCAAAAUACAUUCUGCUUCCUGAUCUUCGGUCAUCACGUAUAACCAUGCAGUAGGCGAACUUCUUUAUUUUCAACUAUGAGACUAAAGAGAGUGAAUCCUGGUUAAGGCCUACAAUGCCAACUUCAUAGCCUUUAAAAGUCCCAGUUGUAUAAUCUGAGCAGCCAAACACCAAGUGACAAACAUCAACCAUAUUCUGCCUAUUGUCUUCAAAGGCAAAUGCAUCAAUUGAAAUUGUUCCUUCAGUUGAUGUACUGCCACUACCAUAUGAUAUCCUAUAGCAACAAUCUUCUUCAUCAAUAUGGCAGGCAUAUCCCCCGGCCUGGUAACAGGUUGGAGCAUCCCAUGGUACUGUGCUGUAGGUGGAAGAUUUGGAGGGGUCGAAAACAGGUGGUGUUUGGUUGAAACACUGUGCCACUUCCUGCAUAUGUCAGCAAUGGCAUAUACCAGACUAGGCGGGGUUCCCACGUUGUACAUCAUUACAUAGGUGAAUUCCUCAGGAAUCAAUUUUGAGGAUAAAUCUUCAACCAAUGAUUGGGAGGUGAGUGAGUUGAGGUAAUUGGGACGGGCAAUGGAGCGAUUAGCUGCCAGUAUGGCACGAUCGCUGACGCUCAAAUUGGGGUCAUAAAAGGGGGAUAAAGCAGAGUCUCGGUGGAUCAGACGUACAACAAAACCAUCGCUAAUAGUACUAAUAUUGUCAUGAUGGGGUGUGGUUGGAGGAAUGAAGAUAUUGAUGUGAGAAAGAUCACAGAUCUGAGGAAGAAAGAGGCAGCAGCCAUGAUCAACUGAGACAAAAAAUGUGAUGUGUGUAUCCUUUCUUCAGGAACAACGGUGUAUUUAAUUAUUCUUAUACCAUAUGAGCCAGUUAAUAGCCAGCAUUCCAAGAGUGUAGAAAUCACAGAAAGAUUUGGUUUAGUCACUAUGUACAUUCAUACCCUUAAAAUAUAUAAUUUCUUAUUACUCAUUCACUUGCCAUGACUACUAUUUUUGAGCUUAUACAAAAGAAGUUUAUACUAGAAAGUGGCACAAUCCACUGGAGCAAAAGAAACCACCUGAGCUUCAAGGUCAUAUCCAACAUGAUAGUUCUGCUGCUGAAUAUUUCCAAGUAUAGAGAGUUUCCGAGUGCUAUUAGACGAAAGCAUGGCCAGGCACCAUAGCCCCUUCUCCACUUCCACAUAUGUGGUCCGCUUGGUCAGUAUGAAGUCUGCACCAUAAAAAUGGAAAGUUAUAUCUGGCCCUGCUGAGGCCAAUUCAUCAGAUCUCCCCUCAAAGCAUAUUCCAAAUCUCCUGUAUUUCCUCCAAGGUAAAUGUAUGGCAUUGCUCAAUGUAUUGACUAAAGAAUUGUAUGCUUCAGACCUUAAUACUGUGUAUGUUGUGCCAGAAUCAAUUAUAAAUCCUCCUGUCCCAGUUGAGUUUAUAUUGAAUAUCCCCUCUGGGAGGGGUACCUUUUCUUCACCAACACUGAUGCCCUUGAGAGUGACAAAGUAGUGGCUGUAGUCCCCCUUCAGCAAUGGAGUUUUUCCACCAAGAAUGACUGCCCUUGAUCCAAAGUACAUUCGACUUCCUGAUCCAUGAUCAUCAGGUAUCACCAUGCAGUAUGAGAACUUUUUAACUUUCAGCUGUGAGACUAGCGAAUUGGGAUGCCGGUUAAGGCCUACGACACCAGCUUGGUGCCCCUUAAGGCGCGCCUUGGUGUCAUGGGAACAGCCGAAGGUCAAGUAGCCAACCUCAACGAUAGUUCUUGUGGGGUCUUCAAAAGCAAAUACAUCAGUUGAGAGAGUUCCUUUUGUUGUUGUGCCAUCACCAUAGGUGUGCUGAUAGCAACAACUUUUGUCACCUUCCCUGCAGGAAAUUCUCCUGACAGCAUUGCAAAUUGGGGAAUCACUUGAUACUGUUUCAUAAGUGUAAGACUCAGCUGGGUCAAAAAUAGGCGGUGUUUGGUUGUAACAAUGUGUGCAUGGAAGGCAUUGGAGCCAUAUGAGUUCACUUCCAGUAUCUGCAAUGCCAUAUACUAGAGUAGAGGGGACACCCAGAUAGUACAUCAUUAUGUAUUCAUAGUACUCAGGAACUAAUUUGGAUGAGAUAUCACCUAGCGAGGAUGAGGAUGAGGUGACUGAGAGCAGGUAAUUGAGGCGAGCAAUAGAGCGGUCAGCUGCCCAUAUGGAGCGAUCAGUGCUAGUCAUGUUGUGGUCAUAGAAAGGGGAAGAAGGUGAGUCAUGGUGGAUCAGAUCGACGACAAAACCAUCACUUGUAGUGCUGUUAAUGUCAUUGUGAGCUGUGGAUGGAGGAAUGAAGAUGCUUGAUGAGAAGCAGCUUACAACAAGGAAAAAAGAGGCAGUAGCCAUAGCUAAAACCGAAAAAAAUUGAACUACAAACCUAGAACUAGUCCAUUUAGAAGAAGAAUGUAACUGUGGAGGAAACAUGUAAAAUCUCAUGUGAAUGAAGGCCAAGUUUUCACUAUACUCGACAAUAAAAAGACAGAGUAUCCUUUAAUUUCACUUCAAAUAAUACUAUUUUUGGCAUUAAUUGCUUAGGCGUUUAUAUCUUGAAAUGGAACUUCCAAUUAAACCUGCACCUUUGUGACUUCCACUGCUGAAUCACUAAUUAGUACUUAUCUUGCAAGUUUGCAACAGCAAUUUGUGACUACUUUUGGGGCUUGCCCAGAAAUUGAUACUAUCAUAGGCUGUACAAAUUUCAUUCUUAGCAAUGAACUAAAUUAAGGAAGAUUAUUCCGACAUCACGAGGAUUUGUCCAUACUACUAAUGGUUUGUAGGAAGCUAGAAACAACUCAUACUAGGCAAAGGAAUAGUGGGCAAAUGGCCUUGAUGAGAGUGACUUAUACCGGCUCUGCAGGAGUUUAUUCCUCAAAAUCCAUGUGAAAACCAUUAAAAACCAAUCUUUAGAGAUGAUUAACCAGUUGUGUAAACAAUCUAGAAUUCAAACAGAUUAAUUUAUAGCAAAAUUGGUCUUUAGAAUGACCUGAACAAUUUCUUAUCCCCCACUUCACUAGAAACAUGCUUAAUAUAUUACACCAUCCACCAAGAAUAUAUUCCUAACAGCCUUAAUUAAGCUUCUAAUUAUGAUCAUUUCUACUAACUUUUGACAUUUCAAUCACUAUUAGAACAGAUUCUAUUGCCCACAAGAUUACAAAGAAGUUUCCUCCAAACCUAGAUUACCUUAGUACCCUUCAAUAUUGAACAAUAUUAAAAUAACCCUAGUAUUUUUUCUGUAGAAUUUCAAAUCUGAAACUAGUUACUGAUAUUUUUCCUGUCAUUGACUUGAGAUAUUGCCCGAAAGUCGUAUUAGAAGCCUUAGUUCUUGUAAUAAAUUAAGGUCAACAAGCCGGUGUUACAACUCAACAAUCUGAUACAAUGACUAGAGUUUUCCUCUUGGCAAUUAUUUUCGUCAACUGGUUUAUUGAUAUUACAAAAGCAUGUCAGCAUCAGUGGUUAGGCUAAAGCAAUCAGGCAUUACUUAAUGUGAAUCAAGACUUCUAAUUAAGAAUUUCACAUUUCCAUUAGUAUUAAUAUAAAGCUACCUGUCCGUACCACAAACAGUGGUUGAAUAAAGUUUUGAAUCCAGAAAUGGCUUCCACAGAUUGAUUUAAUUUUUUAUUUAUCAUCUUAUCCUCAAUUAUUGUUUAUGUGGGUGUGCAAUAAAAAAGUGGUUCAACAAGAGAUACAGGUGGUAUUUGUUUUUUUAACUUUUUGCUGAAAACAAUUUAGCUUUAGAAUUUAGGUUGUUUGUUUUUCUACUUUUUCAUGACUUAUUAUAAACUUUUUACUAAAUAGAAAAAGCCAAAAUAUGUAGCUUUUUCUAAAUAGAAAAAAUAACAUAUUGAUUUUUUAUAUUUUUUAAUAUUUAAUAGAAAUAAAAUACUACAAAAACAAACAAUCUAAUAUUUAACACUAUUAAGCAUUAAUGUUCUAUUUAGAAUUAAGUAAAAAAACAAACACCAUCAUAGUCAACUUGUUAACUUUAAAAUCAACCGAUAACCAGGCGGAUAUGCAAGCAAAUGAGCUUCCAAGAUACUGUAACAGGUCUAAUAUGGAGGGUUCAUAAUUGAUCUAGAACUGUUGUCUAUUCUGUUACUUGGAACCAGCCACAAUGGUUGGUGAUUAGUACUGGCCUUCUCCCUUUCCGAUGGUUUUGGAUCAAUUCUAUUAUGAUAAUAAAGAAAAGAACCUCCACUUUGUGCUUGCAAUUCAAGAAUUUCUACAUAUUCACUAGAGAAUUUGAAAAUAUACAUCGAAAUUCAAAUCCAGACCUUCCAUUCUCAACUACCCAGCCAGAAUCUUCUGAGUCCUUAGCAACUUGUCUGCAGUUGAUAUUUUUUUGUGGACUUCUUGCUGAGAUGGUAUAUGGCUCUUUCCUUCCUACUCCUUUCAUCAAGCUGACCAAGAUAAGGAUUCAUGUGGAUGUAUGUAUGUCCAACCAGACAUAUGAUCAUAGCAAUCACCCCUUGCCCUUACCUAGAGUCAUAUUACCGCAAACUAAGCCAGCCUUGCCGGCAAGUUGGGAAUAUUGAUAGUUUGACUUCUCUUAAAUAGGGAGAGAGGAAUGGAUUAAGCAGCUGACUUCGAACCUAAAAAAAUGGAGAAUAGUGGUCAACUUCCAAGUUGCUGGUAAUUAAGAUGAUGAACAUUGGAUUAUCCUUACCAUAACAUUUACUUAUUCCAUCUAUGUAUGCAUAAUAGUAAUAUAAUUAAUGAUCAUAUUAUAUGCAAGUUUUGGUCAUUAUAUCACGCAGCAAUAUGUAACCAAAGUCUAUGAGAGAGAGCAUAUAGGUCAAUAUAUUUAACUUGGAGAGGAUGAUCUCCCCCUCUUGCCCAUUGAAGUUCUAUUCCUUCAUUGACUUUUGGCAGACUAGGAUCAGUACUCCAAUGUAUGCUACUCUGGCCUCCAAAAGGCACAGUUUGUUUUUUAUAUUCAAAUUUGCAAUGUUGUCUUCCCAUCAACCAGCUGAUCAUUUAUGACCUUUCUGAUCUUCUAUUUAAGCGCAGACCUUUUUCUAUCUUCCACAGAUAAAGCCAACUACUUUCUCUUUCUCAGAGUGGAUCGGAAGAGGAGAUGAAGGCACGCUCUUGUCCUCCUAUCUCAGGCCCAUCUCCAUGUAGUCUAGCCAUGAACAAAGAUUCACAUGAAAUAUCAAAAUUCAAGCCAAAGAUUCGCAUAAUUCACGUAUUUGCACCAGAAAUCAUACAGACAGAUGCUGCAAAUUUUCGCGACCUUGUACAGAGGCUCACUGGAAAACCUGCAGCAAAUUUUAGAGGCCGUAAGAAGAAAAGAAGCAUGAGAAGCAAAGACGUACUGAAGACAUUGAUCCACCAUGAAUCGAGCAAGACCAUGGAAUUGCCUGAGGAGUUUCCAUGUUUGAAAAAUGGGGAGAGAGUUAAGCAGGAGCAAGAAAAGAUGUGGAGAGAUGAGAAUUCAAAUGGGUUCUUUGGUGGGUUUGCUGAUUUGGAUGGUUUCAUGCAAGAGUUAAGUCAAUUUCCCCUACUUCCUUUUGAAUCCUCUAGGAUGGAUGUGUUCCAGGAGAUGCCACUUGCUUAGCUGUAGAUUGGGAUGAUAAUAUCAAUAAAGGAUUGGAUUUCUCUUGCUCCUUUUUUAUGAUGUUUUCUACCUUCUUUGAUGUAAAGGAAUGGAAACUAUUGUCAUAGUUACAGUAAAUUUCUUUCUUCCCUGCACUGAGCUAUUGAAUUUUCAUAGGAUUAAUGCUUCUGCAUAUUGCUGCUUUAGUAUGACUAUAUUCAUUUCUGCUUCCAAUUUGAUUGUAAUUUUUGUAUUCCAUAAGGAGUUCUCUGUCUCACUCACAUACAAGGGCAGAUAAUGAUUCAAGGACUCAAAUACUCCACCCAGAUCCAAUGUAUGUGAUGGUAUUUAGAGCCUUAUACCCCAAACUCUCUGCAAAGAUUGGAGGAUUCAUGCUGUUUGCAUUUUCACUUCCUCAAAAUAUCUGAAUGGUGAAAGCAAACUACACUAUUAACUGCUGUGCUGCAAUAAUGCUAGGUUUAAGCCCCGGGAUGGAUCAUCCAAAUGAUGGUAAUGUCAAAUGUCAAAAAAGGUUUAGCCUACCCUUGCUGGACACCAAUACCAUUUAGUUUUCAUAUGAGAUGUUAAAAGUCCAAUCCAACAGUAACUCGCAAGCAAGACAGAGAUGAAAGGUCUUCUACCUUGUUUACUGGUAAUCAUGGCAGACAGAUUGACAAUUAAAUUGAGUCUCUAGGGUAAUGGUGUUAAAAUAAGAGAUCUUUAUAUUCUGAGCUUAUCAAAUGAAUACUAAGCUGCACAUGCCCAUUAUCAGUUUGCAAUUUCAAUUUCUUCCCAUUAAUAUUGGUGGUCUUAAACUAUAUGAUUGCCCAACCUAUUCUGUCAUCAACAGUCAUGGCUUGUUUUUUUCUUCUUUUUCCAAAAAUGUGAUAAAUGAGGCAGAUGUUUCUGUCCUGCCCUUGACUCUCUCACAAGAAGACAUUAGGUUUGGAGUUUACUGAAAAAUAUCUUGGUUUCAUAUCCUAAUGAGAGUGUUAACCAUGUUUCAGAUUAAUUAGGGCUCAAAUCAAGUUUAAGACACUUCUCUCACACAGUUUCCAUAUUAUAGAGAAGAAAAUCCAAGUUUAGGGGGGGCUAAGUAUGAACAAUGACUUUUUAACCGCUUGAAGACGGCACCAAAGUCAAUUUUUAUUCUCAAAUUGCAAGUUCAAAAUCUCCACCAAAUUCACCAUGAAAACAAAAAUGUCCACUAAAGUGACCGGACCCUCCAACCUACCCCCCUGCAAAUUGAAAAUUUCAUUGAGAUCUGGCAAAACAGUUGCUAAUUAUAGAAAAAUAUCUUCUGUUUUCAUAAUUAAAAUAAUGAUAAUCAAUCUGCAUCAUUCCCCACAAAACAACCCAAUUGAAAACUAAUUAAAUUUGUCAUUUUUGCCCAUCAGUUGGUUUUUAAUUAGCUGUAGGUUCAAUGUCUCUGGUUACCUGGAAUUCAACCCUUUUUGGUAACUUGUCCAAUUUGCUCAAAUUACUGUAUUAGUAUUACUUAGACGAAAACCAUUAACCCCGAAUCAAAAUCAAGUUCUGUUCAGUUUUCUUCCUCUUCAUCUUUAGCCCUUCCAGUCCAGUGUCACAUAUUAUCAUAUUGUAGGGGUCCAUUCAAGUUUUCUAACUAAAGUUCUAUUUUUUAUAGUAAUGACUAAAGAAAAAUAGUGUGGAAAGGAAAGAUUACAAAGAGAGAACACUUUCUAAGAAAAGUUAAGCAUAAAUUGACUCAGAUUUCCUGUUGAAAGAAGGCCAACAAGAGGGAUUUUGGAAGAGAAAUAGAAGCUCCCUGAACAAACAGUAUAGCUGAGAAGGGAAGAAGAUGGGAAAGCUGACCUCUCUAUGUGAGCAGAGCACCAUUCUGUUGAAAUUUGGCUCUGCAUGUGUUAGUGAAGCAGGUUCACACUCACCUUCCCUUCAUUAAUAAAUCAGUCUACACUUUAAAGCUUGAUGACUUUCAUUUGUGUUAUUUAAAGGUAUAGUGAGAAAAGUGUCAACAUAACACCAACCUUUGAAAUAGCUGAGGUUUUAAUGAUCCAGAAACUACCUCCAAGUAUUCUAAGAUUAGCCACCGUCUCCUCUUCCAUUGGCUUGAAUCUUUAUCUUCCACAUUAAAAAUGAAGAAGUAUCUCUGCUGAUGUACAAGGGUGAUCAUUCUCUAUCAGCAGCAAAAGUAAAAUACAUAAUUUAAAAAAAAAAAAAAAAAACCACAUACCCACGCGCGCACACACACGUAUGAGAGAAAUGGCCUAGCAAAUGAUGGUCUCAUGAGCUGCAUCCAAAGGAACUGUAGACAUAGAAAUCUAACAAGACUCUCUUUGAAUUGAAAAAUGGCCCUUUAAUGUUCUCCCUGAAAGGGUACUGUUCAUGAGAACUUAGGCUGACCCAUAUUGUUGAAGUGACUAUAGUUUGUUAUAGAAAUCUCAUGAAUUGCAGAGGAGCCUGAAAAGGAAUAAGGCCAUCAAACCUUAAAAAUCUUGUAGGUGAUCAUGCUGUCUUAACUCUUAAGUACUAGACUUCAGUACAGAAUUUUGACCCUUCAAACUCCACAGAAUUUUACAGCAUUCCAACAUCUUAACCAUCCUAUUAUUGAAAAUCUCAUGAUGAUUCAAUGAAAGGAUUUCAAGCAAAGGCAUUUGCUGUUCAAUUUUGAGAAUUAAUAUGGAUAACAGUGCACCAUAUUUUUGAUAGCAAUCAAUGCAAUAGAAAAUAAACCACCAAUUUUCAAUCCAGAUUGUUUUUUUCCAUACAAAGAAUAGAUUGAUCCAUACAGAACCUCAGAGAAACGAAUCAGUUGUGCAACAGUCCUUCACUGUAUUAGCAAAGAAAUUGAUGAUAACCUUAUUGAGGAUACAACAUAAACAAGAGUUCCCGUAUAAAUGAACUUAAUGGGUUAACACCUCUGCAUGCACAUCACUUUCCAUCUGUAAAUGGUUACAAAUAAAACAUGGAUAAAGUGCAAAAGUAUCUUUCAUCCUUUGUGUGGCAGAUUUAAACUGAAUGAGAGAGAGAAACGGCUGCACUUCCUCUAUGCCCCAAGCAAGUAAAACUUCCUCCAUAUAAUCUGAAACGAAGACUAAUGAGAGUUAAUCAUCAAAGUAAGUUCCCCGCCAAAAUUUGAUUGUGAUGGAAGUUGUUGUAGACCUCAGAAGUUAGAAAUGCACCAUAAUUUACAGGGUUCUUGCAAAACCUUGUAUAACGGAAUUCACUUAAACAUGCAUUCAUCAAAUCUGGAGUCAUCUGAAAUGUAAAUACAAAUAUUUAUGGUUUUAAAAUGUUAAGUAAGAAAUGGACUUUGUUAAAGGGGAAAAGAACAAGGCAGCCCUUUAAGAAUGUAGUUUUACAUAUCUCAUUUAAUGGAUGCAGGACAAGUUUCUAGUUGGAGGAGAGAACCAAACCUUAGCCACCAAUAUGUAUCAUGGGCCUAUUUGCGGUCUUUGCAAUGUCAAACAUUCCAGCAUGAGAAGCUUUCUUCCUCUUGACCUGCAGCCAACAAGAACAAGAAAUAUGAAAAACGUAUUAGGCAAAGACCAGACAAGGACACUUGAAAGCUGAAGUGAAUUUCAGGGCAAUGAUCUUGGCCACCUAGCCAUGCAAUGUGGUACAUAAUUUGGUCAGAGGAGCCAAUCUAUCAGGAGCACCAACAGAGCCUCCAAUAAAACAAACCAUAACCUAUAAGAGUACAGGGAUGAUAUAAAAACAUGGAUGGGAAAAGAAGCUUUAUGCUAUGUUUGGUUGCAGGAAAGUACUAACAAAAGAAAAAAAAAAAUUAAUUUUCCUAUGUUAGUUUUACUAUAAAAAAAUACAAAACAAAGUCAAAUAUAAUUAAAAUUAGCUAGAAACUUAUGCAUUUUUAAAUUAUUUAAUCUUUAUAUAAAAGAAUUAAAAUAAUUUAAAUAAGUUUGAAGUAUCACACAAGAAUAAUUUAUUGACUUUAAAUUUAUUUUUUAUUUUCCUUUUACCUUUCCUCUCUAUUUACUCUCCUUCACAUUUUCCUUCAAAUUUUAUGGGAACCAAACAUAGCCUUUAAAAUUUUUGACACUCAAUGGUUAAAUGUCUGCAACUAAUAGCAUCAUGAGAAGACAGUAAGAUGGAUACCGCUGCCCCAAUUAUUUCACCAAGUUCAUGAUCAUCAACACCAGAACGAAGGGGAUCUCUUAAGCUAACCUGCAAAGGAUAAACACAAUCAAAACCAGCAAGGAAAGCAUUUUAAUUGAACAUUAAAUUGUAAAGGAAAAAGAUUAAACUGCUCCACAGAAACCCAUAUAACUUUAUCUCAUCUUAUUGCUCUACAUGAGAAGACUAAACGCAUUUAGUAAUGCAGCUUUAUCACAUUUUAUUGCUUUAGAAAAUGCUGCAGUUACUAGGAACUAUUUCAAGGCCCUCACCAGUUAAACAGGCCAAACAAAUUCCCUAGUUGUUCAGAAGAGAGAAUUCUUCAAGGCAUUAAUCCUCUAAUUUGCUUUGGAUUUGCAACUCAACAUAGAUGUUGAUUAAAAUAAAUGAGCAGCAAUACCAUUUGAUAAGCCGUCAAACUCUUCUUUAAGACUAACUGCUUUUGAGUCUUAAACCUACUUCUAAUAAUAAGAAUUCCAAAUUCAAACACAGGCACUCACACAUACACACAGACAAAAUUAGACAUGAUAUUUUUCAAAUACAAAGCCAUAUAUUUUACUCAACGAUGCAAAUUAUCUGUGGAUGCUUAAAGCUCCAAACAAAUGCUUAAAAAUACAAAGGUCUUAGGACAAGUGGCAUGAGCAUGAGAAGUUGUGCAAGAUCAACCGUACUUUGAAUGGGAUGGAUUGAGUGGAUAUGAUAUGGUGUUGUGUGAACAAGAAUAUCAAAUUAAAGAGUUUAAAAUAGUUGAAGGGUCUUCCAUAAUUCAUUAUAAGAAUAGCAGGCAAUCGAAAAACAAUUUACCAUAAACUAAGCAUUGCUAGAGAGAUGAUGGUGAGAUAAUUGAGAGCAAGACAAAGAAUCAAACUGAAAAAUGAAUCAUGUAUGAGAAAUUACACGUAACCCAACUGAAUACAAAAAGAACAAUUCAGUAGAGAUGGUUUGGUUUUUUAUCAGCAAGGACAAUGACUACGGCAGAUGGGAUGUGAUGUGGUCAGGCAUGACAAUGGGAAGGGGAAAAAGAACAUAGAUCAAGGUUGAGAAAAAUUAUGGAAGGCCAAUGGUUUAACAAAAGACAUGAAAAAUUUGAAGGAAAAAACAUUGCAGCCCUAAGUCGAGCAAAAAGGUAAAAACUGAUUUAUAUAUCCACAACCCUGUAGCUGGGAUAAGGUUUGCUGAAGUCGACUUAAGUUUUAUAAUAUCACAUACUUUGCUUGAAAGUGUCUUCUAGGAGUUUGGAGCUUAUAACAUAUCCAUAGGGAAGAAAUUCACAGCCUUAAAAACAAUUGAAAGUUAACAUCUUUUAUUAGCAUACCAGAAAAUUUGUUACUGCCCUGCUCUGCAUGCCAAAUUUACAUAAGCACAAUACAACUGUUCCAUGCUAAAUAUAGCAUUUAAAAAUGGCAAAUUAGAAUCCAUAAACCCAAAAACUAAUUAGAUUUAGCAAAUAUGAUAAAAGCAUAUGACAUCAAAACAUGAAGCAAUGACUUUCAUAUCUACGACUGCAGGGUUUCACCCAAUUGGAAACAACAAAAAAUCAAGUCAAAAUAAAUUGCAUAUUCAAGUUCUAGCAUGAAUUGAAGUACAAUAGUGAAGAAGAUAAUUCACCUCUGACGGACCAAACAGGCAUACUUUGAAGUUCCCAUCAGCUAAAAGUCGCAAUCUAUUGCAACCAGCACAAAAAUUCUUAGUCAUUGAUGUAAUAAAAGAAACAGUACCACAAUGCCCAUCAAUCGUAAAAUUCUUGGCAGUCUCUGUAGGAUGAUCUUGAAGUCUCUUUAGGCUUGUAAACUGUUUCACCUGUCCAGUAAUAAUGACUGAUUAUGAAAAUGUACAAAGGGUUAUUCAAAAUCUAUACAUGGGAUCACCUGUCAGAGUUCUACCUUACCACUCUAUCCAACAUUUCUGCAUAAGGUACAAGUUUCUUGACAUUCCAAACAUUUCCAUCAAAAGGCAUGAACUCAAUAAACCGAAUAUUAAUUGGUUUAUCACGAGUCAUCUCUACGAAAUCACAGAUCUCAUCAUCAUUGAACCCACGCAUUACAACACAGUUCACCUGAGACAGCGUACAGAAUGAAUGGAAGGAAAAUAUGUUUUAAUCUUGCAUUAUAAAAGACAAUGAAUAAGACCUAAUGAAUAAGACCUAAUAUUACUUUGGCAGAAAGAGAAACUAUCUAAAAGAACAGAUUUUAGCAAGGAAAGGCAUGCAAUCAUAAAUUGAAAAGACAAAACAUACCUUAACAGGAUUAUACCCAAGGUCUAUAGCUGUGUGAAUUGAUUCCAUAACCCUUUCAUGCCCUUUACGCCUGGUCAUGAAUUCAAAUUUUGCUGGAACCAAAGUAUCUAAACUAAUAUUCACCGAACUCAGUCCACAUUCUUUCAGCUUUGGAAGCUUUCUGGCAAGAGUAAUACCAUUGGUGGUUAUGGCCAGUGUCUUUAGUCCUUUCAGGCUGGACAAUUGUGAGCAUAUUUCUUCAAUAUCUUUCCUAAUGGUUGGCUCCCCACCAGUCAAACGAAUUUUAUCCACUCCAGAGCUGACAAAAAGAUUUGCCAAACGAACAAUCUCAUUCUGGGACAGAAGUUGAGGGUUAGGAGUAAGCUCCACACCCUCAGCUGGCAUACAGUACAUACACCGCAGAUUACAACGUUCUGUCAAGGAGAUCCUCAAGUAAGUGUGUCGCCUUCCAAAUGAAUCAACUAACAUAUCAGACACUGGAUUAUCUCUUGCUGGAGCUUCAGACAACUGAGCACAAGAAGUUGCAUAUGAUAACUUAUCAGAAGUAGGAUUAUCUUUUAUCAGAGAUUUAGAUAACCUUUCACAAGAAGUUGCAUAUGCUUGUGACAUGGUUCCAUCAAUAAAACUGCUUGUUAGACCUUGACAAUUGCCACUUCCUUGACAGAAAUAGGACUCACUUUCACAAUUGACCUGGAAAUAAAAUAUGAACAUUGUUAUAGUUCUAAGGGUGGAACAGCACUUGUUAGAAAGCAUACUAAUAAAAUUCAUAACCAAGGUAAAACAUCCAUGCCCAAUAGACUAGCAAAGCUACUUAACUCAACAGUGCAAACUUGAUAGGCCUUAUACUUGGGAAAAAAAAAAUGACUAUCUAAUAAAAUCAGUGACAGAUUGGUAAAGCACUCUUACGACAAGUCAAAGGACAAAAAAAAUGAUACAAUCUGUGGGCAUUUGUUUGUCUCUCUUUGAUGAAGGAUUCGAGCAAAAACUUUUGUUUUUCCUAUACCAUUCACGGAUGUUUUAACAUACAUAACAAUUGAAUAGUUGGGAUCGAUAGCUUGUGGAUUGCAUUCAAAAUAUAAUACCAACAAGGAUGGGUGCAACACAAGGCAAGAUCCAUGUAGCUGCCAAAUGGUUUGUCUAAGGCUUAGUCCAGAUAAGUAUAAUCAAAAUCAGAAUAUAUAAUUAUACUGGGUGCCAUAGGGAGCACGAAAUGUAGAUAAACCAAAGAAAAAGGGAAUUUCAACGUAACCCAAAUAGCAAACUCCCACACAGAGCAUAACAAAAGGAUUAACUAUAUUAUGGGUAUCAGAAAUUGGCACGUAAAUUAAAAAUGAUGAUCGAUAUAUCAAAAAGAUUAUAGCUACCAAUAGUGGUUUCCCAUAACCAUCGGACAAAAACUCAUUUCUUGGCUGAUCAAACCAUAUGGGACCAUGAAACAAAUUUACAAAAUUUACAGAACAAACUAUUUCAUCAAGUAAAUUCAUAAAGAGAAAAACAGAACCCACAGUCAUACCGAGAAAAAAUUAAGCUUUUUUAAGCCCAGACGCCACCCGGAAGUUUUGGAUGCAUAUCUCCUCAUCGUCGCAGCUGAAACCACAAACACUAAAUCCCAAUAGAAAUCACCAAAAACCCAAUCAUUUUUCUGGGGCUUAUAGCCCCAGACUCUUUCCAAAACCUUAAUUCAGUUCUGAACAUGGGGUUCGGAGAAUUAAGCCAGAAUUUUCAGGAAUUGAAACCAGGACAGAGCACGAAAGACCCUUGUUCGGUAUUUUCAGUUGUACAUAAAUGAUAAAACCCAGAAAGAGAUGGAGGAAAAUAGAAAAAAAUAGAGGGCUUACGCAUCAUAUUCUCUGGUUUUCUUGUAUCUCCAUUCAACCAAAGUUCAAAAAGUGCAAAAGGGUUAGCUGUGAGCCUUUAUAAAGGUCCCAAAUAGGAAAAUAGAGAAGACAGCUUGGCUUGGCGGCAGACGUCUGUCCUCGUUCUGUUUGUGUUUAUCUUCGCAUCGCUUUGUCACCUUCUUUCAGUCGGUCGUGAUUGGAAAGAGGAAAUGAUUGGUCCGAGGUCUUCUAUUUCCAAGUGAUCAUAUUCAUUUCACAUUACAUGAAACGAUAGGUACCUGCAUCCGCAGUUGUUGAAAUUGAUAUGGUUGACCGUUGGAAUUUAGGGAAGGAAGGAUGAUAUGUUCAUCAUGGAAAAUGGCUACAGUACCGUGCCGGUUGGGUUCUAUUACCAGCCAUCCAAUUUAACCAAGCUCUGAUUCAGGAGGAUAAAAAAAAAGAAAAAAAAAAAAAAGGAGAUUGUUUUUCCUUAUCAUCUUUAUCCUUUUCCAUCUUAAAUAUAUCUACUAAAAAAUUUAUUCAUAGAAUUAAAAUUUUGUAAGAUAAAUAUUUUAUUUUUAAUUAAUAACAACCUUGGCCACACUAGCUUAUGUAAUAACAAGAGACUCUCAAGAAUCAUUCUAAUAAAUAUGUAGUAAAAUUUGAAUCAUUGCAUAAACAUAUGCAAUUAAAGUAUUAAAAAAUGAUAUGAAAAUCCAAAGUCAUAAAGCCUUAAAAAACCUAUUAACUAUAUGAUUGAUGACUACUUAAAAUUGACAUAGACCCAAAUUCAUUGCAAUGUCACAUAUGUUGCACAUGCCAGCCAUGAAAAAUGAAAAAGAAGCGGCUAUAUUGGGUUCAUGCAUUUAGAGAAAGGGAUGCCAAAAGUGUAAAACCCUAGAGACCACAACCAUUUCCAUGGGCCCUGCAUGGAGAGUAGAAGCACACCCACAAUAAAUUAAUGGCUUUAUAAAAUGCCCACCGACAGUGACAAUAAAACUAGUAGAGAUGUAUAUGAAUCCAUUGAGAUAAGCCCUUCUGCACGUUUUUAAUAUUGUGACAACCACUAAAUUGACCCCAACCACUUCCAAAAAUAAUGCCUACCUGAUCCCAUCCUUGACCUCCCAUUUUAUUUUUUUUACAUUUAUGUUUAAUAAUUAAUAUCUUAAUUAUAAAAUGAGUAUCUUAAAAUAAAAUUAUUAUUUUUAAAACCAUGUAUUAAAGAAAUUGUAGUUUUUUUUAAAUAAAUAAAUAAUUGGUGACAAGAUUAGGUAGAUUAACCCAUUUGACCAUGAGUUAUAUUUUUUAAACUCUCUCUCUAUAUAUAAACACUUAUGGGAGAACAAGUCAUCACAAUCAACCUAUUUCAACCUUUUGCUAGGCAAAUCAAGCUCUAAUUAACAUCUUUUGUGCCCUAUACGUGCUUUUAGGAUUGCUUUGAAGCCAUUAGUGCCAACCUUGGAGUUCCUAAUAACUACCAUCCCGAUCUAUAGCCUCUUAAGAAGGAGCAUUUUGGACCAUAAUUUUUUCAACAAGGAAAAAAAACAUUAGUAUCUCUAUGGAGUGGUUACUAAGAAAAUAUUAGCUUGCGAUUUUAUGACAAGAGAACAAGGAAUAGUAUCAUAUCCCCAUACCAAAAACCCUACAUUGAGAAGCCAUUAAAAGCCAUUGAAGCUGCCUUUGCAAGCAAUGGUGAUGCAUGCAAGGAAUCAAUACAUGCCACAAAGAAAGCUCUAUAUUCUUUCUUAUCACUGCCAUCCACUUCCUUUAAUUUCCCUCAAUGCUCCAUUGGUUUUUUUGGGCUACAUGCCAUUAUCAUCUUUCCUAAGAACCAAUCCAUUUCUCCCUAACCAUUCUUUAAAAUAAACAAAUCACCAAUACAUAUGAAAAAUGAAGAGUUAUUGCUUUUGCUCUUAAUAGUUGUCACACUUUGAAUUUUCUUCAAGGGGGACACCAAGCUACCAUAUACCCUUUUCCUACCUCCUUUCUUCCUUUGUUUUUCCUUUUUUUUUUUUUAACACUUUAUGACAUUCUCCAUAUGCUUAAUGGUAUAUCUUUAUCCUUUUAUCAUUUUUCCAUUUUAGUAAUAUAAAAAAUUAAAAAUUUAAAAAUAUUAGAGAGAAAAUUCUAAGAAUUUUUUUUUUCUUAAAAAAGGUCUACACUAAUGCAUUCCUCAUAAAUUUAAUAUUCCCAUAAAAGUCCCUCUUUUCAUAAAACAUCUUGUUUUCUAGUGACUUUUAAAGUCAGCCUUUUAUUUUAUUAUUAUUACUUUUAAUUCAUUUAUUAAAAGGUUUUUGACUUUAGAAAGAGAACACCUAACAAAGUUGAGCAUGGAGCUACUUGAGAAAAUCCUUUUUUAAACUUUUGUAUAAACAGUUGACUCAGAUUGCAUGAAAAUUUUAUUAUACCAAAAUUACCCUUUUGAUAUCAACUUAAAACAGAAAAUAAUAGAAUAAAAAAAAUGGCCAUUUAAAUUUUAAACUCAACUUAUAUAUUUAAAGGGUAAAAGAAGUUGUUUAGGCUUUCUUGGUUUUUGACUUGUUUUUAAUUUUUUUAAAAAAAUAUAGCUCCAAAAAUAAGAAAAUUAUAAGAACCACCCCAUAAUAUAAAAAAGGAAUAUAAAUAUUAUAGAUAUAAAAUAAAUAUUACUAUAAAUAAAAAAUUAUCUUUUAUGUAUUUGAAAUCAAAUAUUAUAUAUGUUAUAAAUAUUUUGUUUACCUAUUAGAUUAUGAAUUAUUAUAAAUGAAUAUAUUCUAUUAUAACAUUUUAAAAUAAGAAUAUGGUAAUAUAUAUAUAUAUAUAUAUAUUAUAAUAUCAUAUAUUUAUAUACAUUUUCAAGAAAAAUAAGAAAUGAAAAUUACCUACAAAAAAUAAAAAUAGAUAACAAAAAUAUUAUACCCUAUUGUCUAAUAAAAUUUAAAAUAUUAACAAACUUAUGUUUUAUUCCUAUCAAAAUAUUUUUUAAUAUUAAAAAAUAAAGAUAAAACAUCAUUAAAGUCAUAAAACCAAGUUUCAGUCCCCAUAGAUCCUCAGCCUUUUUAGUUAGGAACCAUAAUGAAGAAAAACGAGGAAAAGCUAGGAUGGUUAUUAAUUAUAAAAGAUUGAAUGAUAAUACAUAUGAUGAUGCCUAUAAAAUUCCGAACAAAGAUUCUUUGAUCAAUUCUAUUCAAGGAUGUAAAUAUUUUUCUCAGUUAGACUGUAAAAGUGGAUUUUGGCAAAUCAGAUUAGAAGAGGAUAGUAAACCAUGGACAGCGUUUUCAUGUCCUUGUGGAUUAUAUGAAUGGAAUGUAAUGCCAUUUGGACUAAAAAAUGCUCCUCAGAUAUUCCAACGAAUGAUGGAUAAUAUUUUUGGAAAAUAUUCUUUUGUUCUUGUAUAUAUUGAUGAUAUUCUUGUCUUUUCAUAUACUCUUAAAGAACACAUAAAGCAUUUAGAACUGAUUUUUGAAAAAUUAAUUAGUCAUGGAUUAAUAGUAAGUAAAAAGAAAUUGAAAUUAUUUAAGACUCAAAUAGAAUUUUUAGGAUUAGAACUAGAGGAUGGACAAAUAAAAUUACAAGAACAUAUAGUACAAAAAAUAAAUAAUUUUCCAGACAAACUCGAAGACUUAAAAACCCUUCAAAGUUUUUUAGGAUUAUUAAACUAUGCUAGGCCAUAUAUUAAAAACCUUAGUAGAUUAGCUGGACCCCUUUANNNNNNNNNNNNNNNNNNNNNNNNNNNNNNNNNNNNNNNNNNNNNNNNNNNNNNNNNNNNNNNNNNNNNNNNNNNNNNNNNNNNNNNNNNNNNNNNNNNNNNNNNNNNNNNNNNNNNNNNNNNNNNNNNNNNNNNNNNNNNNNNNNNNNNNNNNNNNNNNNNNNNNNNNNNNNNNNNNNNNNNNNNNNNNNNNNNNNNNNNNNNNNNNNNNNNNNNNNNNNNNNNNNNNNNNNNNNNNNNNNNNNNNNNNNNNNNNNNNNNNNNNNNNNNNNNNNNNNNNNNNNNNNNNNNNNNNNNNNNNNNNNNNNNNNNNNNNNNNNNNNNNNNNNNNNNNNNNNNNNNNNNNNNNNNNNNNNNNNNNNNNNNNNNNNNNNNNNNNNNNNNNNNNNNNNNNNNNNNNNNNNNNNNNNNNNNNNNNNNNNNNNNNNNNNNNNNNNNNNNNNNNNNNNNNNNNNNNNNNNNNNNNNNNNNNNNNNNNNNNNNNNNNNNNNNNNNNNNNNNNNNNNNNNNNNNNNNNNNNNNNNNNNNNNNNNNNNNNNNNNNNNNNNNNNNNNNNNNNNNNNNNNNNNNNNNNNNNNNNNNNNNNNNNNNNNNNNNNNNNNNNNNNNNNNNNNNNNNNNNNNNNNNNNNNNNNNNNNNNNNNNNNNNNNNNNNNNNNNNNNNNNNNNNNNNNNNNNNNNNNNNNNNNNNNNNNNNNNNNNNNNNNNNNNNNNNNNNNNNNNNNNNNNNNNNNNNNNNNNNNNNNNNNNNNNNNNNNNNNNNNNNNNNNNNNNNNNNNNNNNNNNNNNNNNNNNNNNNNNNNNNNNNNNNNNNNNNNNNNNNNNNNNNNNNNNNNNNNNNNNNNNNNNNNNNNNNNNNNNNNNNNNNNNNNNNNNNNNNNNNNNNNNNNNNNNNNNNNNNNNNNNNNNNNNNNNNNNNNNNNNNNNNNNNNNNNNNNNNNNNNNNNNNNNNNNNNNNNNNNNNNNNNNNNNNNNNNNNNNNNNNNNNNNNNNNNNNNNNNNNNNNNNNNNNNNNNNNNNNNNNNNNNNNNNNNNNNNNNNNNNNNNNNNNNNNNNNNNNNNNNNNNNNNNNNNNNNNNNNNNNNNNNNNNNNNNNNNNNNNNNNNNNNNNNNNNNNNNNNNNNNNNNNNNNNNNNNNNNNNNNNNNNNNNNNNNNNNNNNNNNNNNNNNNNNNNNNNNNNNNNNNNNNNNNNNNNNNNNNNNNNNNNNNNNNNNNNNNNNNNNNNNNNNNNNNNNNNNNNNNNNNNNNNNNNNNNNNNNNNNNNNNNNNNNNNNNNNNNNNNNNNNNNNNNNNNNNNNNNNNNNNNNNNNNNNNNNNNNNNNNNNNNNNNNNNNNNNNNNNNNNNNNNNNNNNNNNNNNNNNNNNNNNNNNNNNNNNNNNNNNNNNNNNNNNNNNNNNNNNNNNNNNNNNNNNNNNNNNNNNNNNNNNNNNNNNNNNNNNNNNNNNNNNNNNNNNNNNNNNNNNNNNNNNNNNNNNNNNNNNNNNNNNNNNNNNNNNNNNNNNNNNNNNNNNNNNNNNNNNNNNNNNNGUUCAAAAACUAAGGACACAGAAGAACACACAGAAGAACCAAAAAGUCCUGUAAAAGAACCAAGGAAUCCUGAAAAAAUAACCUCAUAAAACCAAGUUUCAGUCCCCAUAGAUCCUCAGCCUUUUUAGUUAGGAACCAUAAUGAAGAAAAACGAGGAAAAGCUAGGAUGGUUAUUAAUUAUAAAAGAUUGAAUGAUAAUACAUAUGAUGAUGCCUAUAAAAUUCCGAACAAAGAUUCUUUGAUUAAUUCUAUUCAAGGAUGUAAAUAUUUUUCUCAGUUAGACUGUAAAAGUGGAUUUUGGCAAAUCAGAUUAGAAGAGGAUAGUAAACCAUGGACAGCGUUUUCAUGUCCUUGUGGAUUAUAUGAAUGGAAUGUAAUGCCAUUUGGACUAAAAAAUGCUCCUCAGAUAUUCCAACGAAUGAUGGAUAAUAUUUUUGGAAAAUAUUCUUUUGUUCUUGUAUAUAUUCUUAAAGAACACAUAAAGCAUUUAGAACUGAUUUUUGAAAAAUUAAUUAGUCAUGGAUUAAUAGUAAGUAAAAAGAAAUUGAAAUUAUUUAAGACUCAAAUAGAAUUUUUAGGAUUAGAACUAGAGGAUGGACAAAUAAAAUUACAAGAACAUAUAGUACAAAAAAUAAAUAAUUUUCCAGACAAACUCGAAGACUUAAAAACCCUUCAAAGUUUUUUAGGAUUAUUAAACUAUGCUAGGCCAUAUAUUAAAAACCUUAGUAGAUUAGCUGGACCCCUUUAUAGUAAAACAAAAAAUACAGGGCAGAGAUAUUUUAACCAAGAAGAUAUUAAACUUAUACAGAAAAUAAAAGAACUUGUGAAACAUCUCCCAACCUUACAUUUACCCUUAGAAAAUGAAUAUAAAAUAGUCCAAACUGAUGCUAGUCAAACAGGAUGGGGGAGGUAUACUUUUAGCUGUAACUAAUAUAGGAGAAGAAAAACUUUGUAGAUAUUGUAGUGGAACUUUUAAUGAUUAUCAAAAGAACCUUAGCUCUACAGACUUAGAAAUUGAAGCAAUAAUAUUAGUCUUAGAAAAAUUUCAAUUAUUUUUGAACCAAGAACAAUUUACUUUAAGAACCGAUUGUGAGAAUAUUAAAAAAUUCUUUGAAAACAAAAAUUCUUCAAAACUGUCCACCAAAAGAUGGAUAAAGUUUCAAAACUCUUUAAUUGGUUUCAAACCUAAAUUUGAACAUAUUAAAGGAAAAGAUAAUAUAUUAGCAGACUGGUUAAGUAGACAAAUAAUUAAUAAUGUCGAUAAUACUAAUGAUUGAUUUCAUGAUUACAGGAACAUGGCUCAAAGAAAACCUACGAAAGCUAGAACCUUUCAAUAUGGAACCAUAUGUCUAAACGAAGUGUUGAAUCCAAACCUAAGGUUUAACUCUUUAUUUUCUCAAAACCUUUUUGAAGAACAUAAGGUUAUUGUAGAUAAUUUUUGGUCUUUAAAACCACAAAGUUUUCCGAACCAAAAUUUAGAAUACGCUUAUGGAAAAACAGUGUCAACCAAUCAAACCAGCUGUUCAAACAGUCAACCUGAAGUAAUUAGUUUAAUUAAGAAAUCAGCUCUUCUGACUGAACAAUAUGAAAGGCUUGUUGUUAAAAACAUAAUUGGAGUUGAUAACUACUCUUUCGUCAAAACCUUUUUUCUACAAAACCAAUAUAACAAAGUGUUUAAAAAUCAAGAACUUUUGUAUAAACAUUUUAGAACUAAAAAUGUCGGGAUAAAAACAGGGUAUAUGGCAUAUCACGACCCUGAAUUUUUCUUUGUUAUAUAUUUAGCUUAUGUAAAUAUGUCUGUUGUAAAUAAAGAAAAUUUUGAUUUAGUACCGCAAUUUAUGGAUCAGGGAAUUUUAAAAAAUGUUUUUAUGAACCAUAUAUCUCAAAUCCCUGAAAAUUUCCCAGAAAAAUUGAAAGAUAUUUUAACUUAUCUUUUUAAAACCGAAAAAUAUAUAGAUAUUUCUUUUGAAACCAUUCCACCGUUAUUUCAACCCGAUGGAUCAGUAGUACCAGCCUAUCAUCAUGUAUAUAUAAAACAUAAUAAAGAACCACUCAUCCCUCAACAAGAACCAGAAUGGGAAAUGACCCGUUCAGAUGAAUUUCCAGAAUUUUUUACUCGCUAUAGAGCUUUUCAAAUCUAUGAUCUUAGACCAACCCGGAAUAAAUUAUUUCAUCUCAUUGGCGAAACAAAAACCAUGUCUAUAUGGAGAAUAAAACCUUUAGAACACAUCAUUGUUCCAAACCCUUUUAUUACUUCUGAAGAACAGGAUUUUAUAACCGAACUCAGUGUAGAUAUACCGGAACCAUCUUCCUACCUCAGCGAUGACGCAUUAUUUUGGGACAACCUGGACGAUGAAAGUUAUCAUAAUCUACAAAAUGCAAUGGAAGGAUGAUGUCAGCAAUGACGACAUUGAAGCAGUAAAUGCGUCUUCAACUACAAAAAUUAAACAUGGCAGUACAAGUUCAGAAGCAGUAAAGACAUCCACAAGCCACGUGUUAUGCAUGUAAUAAAAAGAAAAGAAAAGGACAAGAGAAAGAGACAAGAAGGAAGAGAAGAACGGAUGAAUAAAAGUCACAUGUCUCAAAAGUCAAAAGUCUUUGUAUUUAUUUUAUACCAAACCUCUGAACACCGUAAAUAUUUUUCCUACCAUCCAACCACUUGAAAUUAAUUCUCACCUGUAUUCUCACCUGUCCCUUGUAAAUGCUUUGCCUAUAAAUUAGUGGUAGUAAAAGGAAAGAAGUGUGCCCGAGAGAAAGUGUGUGCAAUAGUGUGCAAAGUUGUCUGUAAAGAAGCUCCAUCAUCUUCAGCCUUGUAAAUUCAUCAGCAAUCAAUAAGAAAGUAAGAAUUUUCUGUUAAAUUUUUUGCCUUCAUUUAAAUUUCUGUAUUAUGUAUUUUUCUUACCCUUAGGGGGUAAAAAGGGGUAAAAAGGUAAAAUAGGGAAAUGAAAAUUAUUUGAAUUAUUUUUAAGUUUUCUUUACUAGUUAAUAUCUGUAAUAUACAUGGAUCCUUUUUAUAUAACGUUCUCAUCAACAUAAAAAAAAAAAAAAAAAAAAAUCGGUUUAUUUAGAAAAUUUUGGGUGUAAAAUCAUGUUUUAAAACUAGAGUCUUUAGUCUUAACCCUUGACCUCAAACCCGUUUUUGCCGGAAAAUUGGCGUUUUAGGGAGACUAUGUCUGGUCAGAAGGGGGGUAUUACCUUGACACGAAGUGAUGUUUUAAAAAUUUUUGAAUUUUAUUACCUGAAUUUUUGAGAUAUCCGAUUUCAAAAGAUUUCAAAACUUUAUUUUAUACGUUCAAAAACUUUCACUAUAAGUUUANNNNNNNNNNNNNNNNNNNNNNNNNNNNNNNNNNNNNNNNNNNNNNNNNNNNNNNNNNNNNNNNNNNNNNNNNNNNNNNNNNNNNNNNNNNNNNNNNNNNNNNNNNNNNNNNNNNNNNNNNNNNNNNNNNNNNNNNNNNNNNNNNNNNNNNNNNNNNNNNNNNNNNNNNNNNNNNNNNNNNGUGUAUUGCAGUAUAUUAAUUAGGAAAGGAGACUGUAGAUUCAAAUUGAUUUUCAGAGUACCGAACUUUACCUUACCCCAUAUAAAGUCUGAUUAAUUUUGCUUAAUUUAUUCUGAAUCUUUAUUUGCUCUGCUUACUUAACAUGAAUUAGGAAUUAAUGUCUUUUAUUCCUUAUCCUCCUGGUAUAUAUAAUAUAGAUUAUGAUCGUGUAAAAGAACUUAAUAAUAGGUUGUAUUCUCAACGUAAAGAAUUUAGAGAAACUUGUGAUAAAUUACAUAAUUUAAGAACUACUGUAAAAGAUUUAACCACAGAUAUUAAAAACUUAACUUCUCUUAAAUAUUUGAAUGAAUACGAAGUAGCUAUACAAGAAGCUUUUGAUGAACUUUUUGCUACAGAAACCAUAAUUAGAAGAGAAAUUAUAAAAUAUUAUAUUGAUAAUUUAUAUGCUAGCUCAUCUAAUUAAAACAUAUUAGAGAUAAUGAACCCUCAUCUACAAACCCAAGAGGUAAAGCAGUUAAAAUUUUUAGUAGAGACACAAUUAAAAAUAACAAACGAAGUAUUACAAGAACAAAUUCAGAAAGAAAACCAAAACAAUAUAGAUAUUUUAAAAGAAAUCCAGAAAAGACAAAUAAAAUCUGUAGAAAAACUAAACACGAUUUUAGGAAUUAGAAAAGAAGCUGGAAGACUUUAAGAACCAUAAUUUGCUAAGAAAUAACCUAGAUUAUAUUAAAGAACAAUUAGCUAGAGAAGAAAAAUUUGUCAGAAAAGAAAUAGAACAAAUAAAAUUAGAACAACAAAAUUUAAAAGAAACUUUAGAAAAAAUUAACCAAAAAGUAGAUAAACUUUUAGAACAAAGAAAUAUAGUAAUAUCAGAGGAACAAAAAUUAAAUAACCUUUUAAAACAAUUUGAAAACUUUAAUUUAGGAGAAAAACCAAUAAUUAAAAUAGAGAUUUUAAUUUAUUCUAAUUUAGAGGUAUUUUGAUUCUCUAUUACAAGUUAUUUUUAAAUAUAUUUUUCAAAAAUUAAAAAAUUAAAGACUUCUGUUUUUAGAUAAGUUGUUUUUACAAAUAAUUUUUUUAUUUUGGAAAAAAAUACAAAUUAUAAAUUCAAUUAAUGUUUUAUUAAAAAUGAAAACAAUUUUAAAUUAUAAGUAAAUUAAAAAUAAAUAUUUUUUAAUAAAAUAUAAAUAUUAGUAAUAUAAUAAAAUCAUAAAUUACAUUAUUUUAUAAAUAUUAUAAAAAAAUAUAGAUAUUAACAUUAAUUGAUUUAUCUUGUUUAAAAUAAAUAAUAAUUCAAAAUCAAUAAUUUUUAAUACUAUUUAUAUGAUUUUAUAAAUAUUAUAAAAAUAUGGACAUUAAUAUCUUAUAAAAUCAUAAUUAAUUUAUUUUAUUAAAAAUAAAAAAUAACUACUCCAAAUUAAUAAUUCCUAAUACUAUUCUAUUUUAAAUGAAUAUAAAAAUAAAUAAAUUUUAAUUUUUUAAGGUAUAAAUGAGUAAAAAAAUUUAUCAUAUGCAUAUAAAUUUAUCAUUUGCAAAAAUUUGUUUUGAAACUAAAUUUUUAACAUUUUUUUGUAAAAUAUCUUUUGCAGCUUUGCAAUCGAUUUUCAAAAGAAAUUUUUUAUUUAUCAAAUCACUUUGAAAAUUUGAAAUACAUAAAACUAUUGAUAAAACUUCUUUUUUGACAGUUGAAUAAUUUAUUUGAGCGCCCAACCAGAUCCCUGAAUGAUAUCUAACUAUAUGCACUUGAUUGUUAUAUUCUUGCUUUAAUAUGCCUCCAUAACCUAAAUUAGAUGCAUCUGAUUCUACAAUGAGCAAUGCAUUUGGAUGAGGGAUGCUGAUGCAUGGUAAACGUUUGACUCUUUGUUUAAUUUCUUUGACCAAACUAGUAUGAUGCUCAGUCCAUGCAGGUGCCUUUUUUCUAAGUCUUUUGUAUAAGGGUUCACAAAUGAUUCUCAAAUCUUUGAAGUAAUUAGAAACAUAAUUUAAACAUUCUAGAAAUCUUUACAAUUGUUUUUUAUCUUUUAUUUCAUCAGGAAAUUUGUCAGCAAAUUCUAUUGACCUUUGAAUCGGUUUUGUUUUUCCUUGAAAAAUUUCAUGUCCUAAAAAUCUAAUUCUUGUUUGAAAUAAUUUCAUUUUUGGAGCUGAACAAGCCAUUCCAUUUGCUUUAAUGACAUUGAAAAACUUUUUUAUAUGAACAAAAUGUUUUUCUAAUGAAUCAGAAAAUACUAAGACAUCACCAAUGUAUACAAUUAUAAAUUGAAAAUGAGGAUUGAAAAUAUCAUUCAUAAUAUUUUGAAAUUCAGAAGGGGCAUUUUUGAGACCAAAAGGCAUGACAUUCCAUUCAUAAUGACCAAAAGGGACAGUAAAAGCAGUUUUGUACCUAUCUUAUUCUUUAAUUUGAACUAGCAAAAAUCCAGAUUUCAUAUCAAAUUUUGAAUAAAUUACAAAACUAUGUAAUCUUUUGAGUAAAUCUUGCUUAUUAGGAAUAGGGUAUCUUAUCCAUUGUAAUACUUUAUUUAAAGGUUUAUAAUUAAUGACUAAUCUUGGUGCUCCUUUUUCUAUCUCAGCAGCAUUUUGUACAUAAAAAGCGGCACAACUCCAAGGAGAUUUUGAGGGUCUAAUUAAUUUCUUCUUUAAUAAUGAAUCAAUUUCUUGUUUACAAUAUUCUAAAAGUUUUUCAUUCAUUUGAAUAGGUCUAGCCUUAGUAGGAAUUUUAGAUUCAUCAAAGUUUUGAACGUAAGGCAGACUUAUCUCAUGUUUCUUUCUAGACCAAAAAGCAUUUGGAAGAUCAGAACAAAUUUCUUUUUGAAAAAGAUCUUGAAUCUCUUUUAUUCUCUUUUGAACCUUUUCUUCUACAAGUUGUUCUUCUAUCUUUUUAUAUUGAAUUUCUUUAGAUAGAUAAUUUAUAUGAGCUUGUUUUCUUUGGAUUAAAUUUAUUCUUUUAUUUAUUGAAUCACUUUGGACUUGAUGUAUUUCUUUUUUAGUUAAGGGAUAUAUAAAAGGGAAAAAUAUGGUAUUUCCUAAUAUUGUAGUUUCGAGACCUUCAUCAUUUACUUGAAAAGGGUAAAGUAAUGUAAUAAAAGGAGUUCCUAAGAUUAAAGGUUCAGUCAUAUUUUGUACUAAUAUAAAUUGAGUUCUAAAACAAUAAUUAUCUUGACAUAUAUGAACAUUUUGAAGUUUAAAUUCUAUUUCUAAUUUUCCUUUAUUUGCAGCAAAAAGUUCUUGUCCGGUUUGUUCAUAAUAUUUAACAGGAAUUAAUCCUUCUUGAAUACAAUUCAUAUCAGCUCCUGAGUCUAUUAAUGCUACUAUUUCCAUUUCAAAAUCUUUUACUAUGAGUUUUAUAUUUGUAUACCAUCUUUGAAAUUCUAUUUCUGUUAUUGUAUUUAUAAAUGAUUCUAUAGGAGUUUGUUUAUUAGGUAUAAUUAUUCCUGGUUCUUGAUUAUCAGAGGUUUCAACAAAAUCUUGUUUAUAUUGUAUUACAUUUCUAAUUUGUUCAUUUUCUUGUUUUAUUUGCUCAUUUUCUUGUUUUAUUAUUUCGUUUUCUAUUUUUAUUUGUUCAUUUUCUAAUUUUAAUUGAUUUAUUUGAAUUUUUAUUUCUUUUAUUUCUUCUUUCAAGUCUUUAAUAGUUAUUGGCCUUUGAGUCUUUUUGAAUCUAUUAUAAAUUUCAUCCAUUGAAUAUUGUGUAGGUUUAAUUUGAAUUUUAUUUGAAUCUUCAUUGAGAAUUAAAUUUUUCAAAUUUUUUAAAUAAUUUCUUUGUGUUUCUUCAUCUUGAAUUUUAUCUACUACAUCAAAAAAUAUUUGCUUAUCUACUUUUGAAGAUAUUACAUUUAUUGUUUUUUUUUUCUUUAUUUUCUAUUUUUUUAUUUCAUUAAUUUCUUUUAUUGUUUUUUCUUCUAUCUUUGCUUCCUCUACCUCUCCCGGGACAGAAGAAAACAAAAUUUGAUUAAAUUUUGUUUCACUUGACUCUUCUUUUGAUUCUUUACUUGACUCUUCUUGAUUUGAGUUUUGUUUUUCUAACAGUUUUUUAUUAUGUGGAGAAUUUUCUAUUGCUUUUCUUGAAGUUAAUGUUGCAAUUCUUUUAAGGGGUUUCCUAUAUUUGAAAAACCAAAGGAAAAAAGGAAUAGUGAUCCUAACUUGUUGCAUAUAUUUUUCAUAUUGUUUUCUUAAAGCAUUUCUAACUUGAGGAGGAAGUUGUUGAAAAUAAUUUCUUUUGGCAGUAUUGUGGACCCUCACCCGAUCCACCGGACCGACGUGACUCGCUUUUAAAAGAAAAGAAAGAAAUGAAAAAGUUGGUGUUUUCCAGUUUUGAAAAACCCGCCCCCGGUGAGGAACGGUGUUGUUUGGAGUCGCCACUUACUUUUUAUUUUUGUUUUUAAAAUGGGGAAAAUUAAGUAAGAACAAAAACCCCUAAUGACCCCAAUAUGGAAAAAAAGGGUCUACGAAAACUAGAUUCUGGGUCCGGGGAUCAGGUUACCCGUUGGGAAGGUACCUCAUGCAAGGUAGCACCCCUCUAGGCCCGGAACUCGGUCUCUACUAAUGAAUUGGGUAUGUGGGAGCAUAUGGGUCAAAGGUCAAAUGAAACCCUAGGCUAAAUAGAUGUCAUGAAUCACACAAUCCUAAUUGGUAUUUGGCAUGCAUAUGAAUUCAACCAAACAAAACAAUGGGUGCGUACCUGUGGUCCCUAGCCAAGCGCUGCAUAAAAGGUCAGCCAAACAUAGAUAAACACAUAACAAACAUUCAAGAUUAAGUACCAUGCAUGCAUAUGAAUUCAACAACCAAAGCCAACGAUGCGUACCUGUGGUCCCUAGCCAAGCGCUGCAGCAGAGGGUGAGUCAGUCACGCAACAAUGUAUUCAAAAUCAAGCAUCAAAGCUUGUGCCAAAAAGGAGGAUAGCUGGUUGAAAUGAGGUAAGGGACUCCACAAAUGUCAUACAAAUUGAACUAGACUCAUCUAGACCACACCACCCAUAACUUCCAAAUUGCCCAUACUAACUGAAAUCAAACACUGACUUAAACCUUCAAGAUGGCUCACAAGUGCCCUAUAGCAAAUGGGUUUGAGCCCCCCAUGGAUAAGGGCUCGAAAAAUGCCAAAAUCAAGGGCUACCUAAAGUCCUCCAGCAGAACAGGUUUAACUAGUUCUCAACUGGUACAACCCAUUGAGAAGAAUUCCCAAAUUUUUCUAGAAAACUCCUAAAUGAGUGAGGAUUCAAACAAAAGAAACGACACUCAAUCCCGAGCCCGGAUGAGUGAGAACCAGACAAAGAAAGGCAGGUGUUCCUUAUGGCUGAAAGAGGCAGCCAGCUAUGGUGCUGAACCGAUUGAACCGGUUCCCAACCAGUACAUCCGGUUGAUAAAAAAUCCCAAAUUCAGUCAGUAAGUUCCUAAGUGAUUAAGGAAGCAAACAAAAGAAACGGUUCUCAAUCCUGAGCCCGGAUGAGUGAGAACCAGACAAAGAAAGGCAGGUGUUCCUUAUGGCUGAAAGAGGCAGCCAGCUAUGGUGCUGAACCUAUUGAACCGGUUCCAAACCAGUACAUCCGGUUAAUAAAAAAUCCCAAAUUCGGUCAGUAAGUUCCUAAGUGAUUAAGGAAUCAAACAAAAGAAACGACUCUCAAUUCCGACCCCGGAUGAGUGAGAACCAGACAAAGAAAGGAAAGUAUUCCUCAUGGCUGACAGAGGCUGCCAGCUAUGGUGCUGAACCGAUUGAAUCGGUUCCCAACCAGUACAUCCGGUUGAUAAAAAAUCCCAAAUUUGGUCAAUAAGCUCCUAAGUGAUUAAGGAAGCAAACAAAAGAAACGGUUCUCAAUUCCGACCCUGGAUGAGUGAGAACCAGAUAAAGAAAGGCAAGUGUUCCUCAUGGCUGACAGAGGCUGCCAGCUAUGGUGCUGAACCGGUUGAACCGGUUGGUAAAAAAUCCCAAAUUCGGUCAGGAAGUUCCUAAGUUAUUAAGGAAGCAAACAAAAGAAACGGUUCUCAAUUCCGACCCCGGAUGAGUGAGAACCAGACAAAGAAAGGAAAGUAUUGCUCAUGGCUGACAGAGGCUGCUAGCUAUGGUGCUGAACCGGUUGAACCGGUUCCAAACCGGUUCAUCCCGUUGGUAAAAAAAUCCCUAAUUUGGUCAUAAAUUUCCUAAGUGAUCAAGGAAGCAAACAAAAGAAACGGUUCUCAAUUCCAAUCCCGGAUGAGUGAGAACCAGACAAAGAAAGGCAAGUGUUCCUCAUGGCUGACAGAGGCUGACAGAGGCUGACAGAGGCUGCCAGCUAUGGUACUGAACCGGUUGAACCGGUUUCCAACCGGUUCAUCCGGUUGAUAUAAAAUCCCAAAUUUGGUCAGAAAGUUUCUAAGUGAUUAAGGAAGAAAAAAAAAGAAAAAAAAAAGAAACGGUUCUCAAUUCCGAGCUCGGAUGAGUGAGAACCGGACAAAGAAAGGCAGGUGUUCCUCAUGGCUGACAGAGGCUGCCAGCUAUGGUGCUGAACCAAUUGAACCGGUUCCAAACCAGUUCAUCCGGUUGGUAAAAAAUCCCUAAUUCGGUCAGAAAGUUCCUAAGUGAUCAAGGAAGCAAACAAAAGAAACAAUUCUCAAUUCCGAUCCCGGAUGAGUGAGAACCAGACGAAGAAAGGCAAGUGUUCCUCAUGGCUGACAGAGGCUGCCAGCUAUGGUACUAAACCGGUUGAACCGGUUUCCAACCGGUUCAGCCGGUUGAUAAAAAAUCCCAAAUUCGGUCAGAAAGUUCCUAAGUGAUUAAGGAAGAAAACAAAAGAAACGGUUCUCAAUUCCGAGCUCGGAUGAGUGAGAACCGGACAAAGAAAGACAGGUGUUCCUCAUGGCUGACAGAGGCUGCCAGCUAUGGUGCUGAACCGGUUGAACCGGUUCCAAACCGGUUCAUCCGGUUGGUAAAAAAUCCCUAAUUCGGUCAAAAAGUUCCUAAGUGAUCAAGGAAGAAAACAACAACAAUCAUGUGUGGCCUUUAUUAUCCACACCCAAGCAAUACAAUCUUCAUAUCAAAGGGAGAAAAGAUGAUGAGGAAGGAGAAAAAGCAUAUGAAGACGAGGAAGAUAAAUUGUAAGUAAAGAAAAUUCAGCGUGCUUACCUCAGAAUCUCCACCAAAUAUGAUCCGUGCAUGCCGAUGAUGACUUCCAAAACUGAGAGGCUGUCACUCUCCUCUUCAAAAAACCACAGUGCUGAAGCUUUCCCCCACACUCUCAACUCAGAAGAUGCUACUGAUCUUUUGUUUUUCUCACCAGCAGAAUUUCCCCUCUCCAAAAUGUCCAAGGUCCUUUGCUCUCCUAUCCUCUCACCUUUUAUACUCAUACCCCUCUUAGCAUUUGAGCCUCCUGGGUUCCUUCCCUUUCAGCACCGAAAUUCCCUUCAUCAGCAUGGGAACCACACCCCUCAUUACUUCUCUUAGACUUACAAGGCCAGCUCACUCCCUUCAGUUUUUUCAGCUUGCUUCACCACCAAGAAUCCAUAUGGAUUCGUGGUGGGCUGCAAGGAACCCAAACCAAGGCCCAAAAUGGACCCACAACAUUGCCCAAAACCAAUCUGGAGCUUAUGAGCCUGAGCCAUGUAGGAUUUGGGCCUCAAAAUUACUAGAAUUAGUGUUUUACCUCAGCUGACUCAAUGAACCGGCUGAACCGGCCGAACCGGAUGCCAACUGGUCGACCCGAUGGAGAAAAAUUCUGAAAAUUUGACAGAAUGUUCCUAGUAGAGUAAGGAAUCCAUUAAAAAAAACGGUGCAUGAUUCCAAGUUUGGAAGUGGGAGAUAUGAUCAAAACAAUUACCAAAAAUCAGUGUUCUACACCGGCUGACCUAAUGAACCGGCUGAACCGGCUGCCAACCAGCCGACCGGUUGCAAAAAAUUUUGAAAAUUUUACAGAAUGUUCCUGGAAGAAUAAGGAAUCCAUAAAAAGAAACGGUUCUUGAUUCCGAGUUUGGAUGAGGGAGAUACGAUCAAAACAAGCCCAAGUGCUCCGAACCUCAACAUGCCCCUAUAAACUCCAACUAAGCUAAAACAUCGGGAUGACCCCACUUCCUUCCUAUAGCGUGAUGUGAACGACCAGGAAAAUGGCCAUGGUGACCCUCCUAAAUGAACCACAUAUGCACCACAAUGGACCACACACAAACCCACACGAGGCUCGGACACUGACUAAGCCCAAAAGAGGCCCUAGUGGUGCCAUAUGCGAACGAUGGGUGGAUGUGACACCCGAAGGAUAAAUGCCAGUGUUGAGGGACAAAAUUGAGGGUCUACAAGUAUUUUCAGGAGAAAAAUAAUUUGCUUUGAUCAAUUCUACUUCAGGAACAAAAGGAUUUCUUUUAAUACUUCUUUUCCUAAUGAUAUUUAUGUUUAAAGGAGGUUCAUUAUGAGAAAAAAUAAUUGACUCAGACUCUUCUUUAAAAAGAGGAAUUUCCGGGACAAAGUUUGACAUAUUUUUUAGUUGAUUUUCUAUUUGACUCAUUUCUUCAUCUAAUUUUGAAAUAUUAAAUUUUAUAUGAUGACUAUAGAAUGAUGCAGAUGAUGAUGCAGCAGGUGAUGAUGCAGUAAAGUUGAUUAUCUUAUAUGAAGAUCUUUCUAAAUCAUAUGCAGAAUUAUUUAAUGCAAAUGCAGAACUAUCAUGGGACCUAAGAGAUCUGGAAGAACUAUUUCUACUUAAUUUCCUAAUACUAUUACUCAUUGUCACAUAAAAUAAUCACAAUUUUAUCCUUAAUCAAUUCAGAUAAUUUCCUGAACAGGGACCACCACAAGCUGAUCAACACGGGACUUACGCUCCUUCUACCCUUAAACACCGCUUAUCACAGGCUGACCAAUCCGUUCACAGGAAAUUCAACCCGAAUUAUGUCAGGACUAAAUCUGUGAUUAAUUACUGUUCCAACUCGUAACACCACUCGGUUCUCAAGCAGAAAAUGGCUCUGAUACCAUUUGCACCCAGGACAUACAACAGUUCAUGCACGCAAUAAUUAAUUCUGUCUAAUUAUCUCCAAGCAUAAAAACAGAAAUAUUUAAUGUCUAAUACUGUCUAAUUUAUUGCAGAAAUUUAAGCAUAAUAACACAAAUAUUUGAGUCUGAAAAUUUUGUUUAUUGAAAAUAUACCUUAAUACAGAGAGCUGAUGAAUACAAGUUGUUGACAGUAGAGGGAUGACUCGAACUCAAAAAAGAAAAUUACAAGAGAAAAUUUUUUGAAUUCUCAAAAUUUUUCACUCUCUAAUAUUUUUUAUGCUCUUGAGGCUCUCUCGAACUCUUUCCAAACUCUGCCUGAUGAAGAAUGUUGAGGCUCUAUUUAUAGGCGAGGAAUCAAACUUGAAAUUCUAUUGAAUCUUCAAAAUUGUUGAAAUUCAUCACGUGUAGAGACAGUUGGGGCAAUGAAGUCUGUAGAUGGAGAAUAUUUUUUCUUUUCUUUGUCAGAGACUUGAAAAGAGAAAACUUCUCUUUCCUUUCCCAUUCUCCACGUUGCUUGUAAAGUAGUAGAAAGUAGACAAAUUCUACUACUCACUACUAUUCAUGACUUUUGAUGUGAUUUUUUUUUUUUUUUUUUACUGGAUGAUCACAAGGGAGCAAAUUUACAUAGAUACAGAUGUACAAAAGAUUUUUGAAAUCUUUUAUCUGGAUUGACCCAUAGGUUCUCCGUAAAGGAUAAACUUAGGGUCUACGUAUGAGUCAUCUGAUAAAACUGCAUCUUUAGUUUCUUCAUUUUCUUGAUCUCCAAACUGUUUGAGGGUUUGAAUGAGUCCUUGACGAUAUUGCUCUAAAUCAGUAGCGGCUGCUAAUGAAGCUUGACAUUUUCUUUUCAAAGUUAGGAAUUCUUCUUGAGUCGGUCCUUGAGAAGAAGUUGUUGAAUCUUUUGAAUUUGAUGAUCCUGGCCUUGAUGUAAUUAGUUGCAAAACC